CUUGCCCAAACCUCCUAUUCCCACAAUGGGAAUCACCGAGAGGUUUUUGUUAUCUGAUUGCAUCAAUAUCUCAAUUAUCUUUUGUUUAUUAACAUCUCUUCCGACGACAUCUAACUUGUUUAUAAAUGAGUAAGUCAUCUCUCGUGAUCGCGAGUGCCCCAUACCGUUGUCAACACUCUGCACAUUAAGAUCAAAUUGAUUCUUCUCGAUGGAAAUUUUAGAUAAUGUCUCCCUAAUCUCCUUGAUCUUAUGACUGAUUUUUGCACGGAGUAUCACUGGAUUAGAGAGGGAACAGAAGCGGUGUACCUUCUCUUUGACGCCCCCAUACUGACUGAUUACCCGCUUCCGUAAGGCUUCACACUCGAGUUCAUCAAGCACAUCCUCCGCAUCAUACAACACGUCUCGAAGCCGACCCAGCCACAGUUGCAGGCUGUGGUUCUUCGCCUGUUGCUCCUCAGCAUCUAACAACACGGCAGUAAUGGCAGCCAACGUAUUUUUAAGGUCGUGGAUCUGAUCUUCAAUGCUGUAAAUUGCGACAGCUUCUUGGAACGCCGAGGAUGCGAUCUUCCCCAGCACACCCUGUGCAACGCUGAAGAGGAAUGAUUCAGCCAUGCCAGGUGAUGGGGAAAAAGAUUCAGGCUAUUUGGUUCGAGAACAAAAAGAACACCCAAAGUCUUCCUCUCUUGAGUCAAUUGAUAUAAUGACAACUCGUAUGAUGUCUUCCUCACUAGUGGCCUCCAGGUCAAAAGAAACACGGUUUCGACCUUUUCCUUAUCUUGUUAUCUAACUUUCCUUGCGAGUGGCCUCCAUGUCAAAAGCAACACACUUUCUACCUCUUUCUUUGUCCUACUUUCCUGGCACCAAUAAGGAAACGCGAUAAGUUGAUACUAAUUCUAAAUCAAAUUUAUUAAUUUAAUGAUGUUCCCAGUUAAAUGAUAAUCCGAUGCACCUUUGCUAGAAUAUUUUUCAUGAACUAUUUCACUGGCCAUCACAAAUCAAAUAUGAGUAUCAAUUAUUGCACUUUUUUCGAGUAUCGAAUGAACAUAAACAAUCCUCAGCAAAAAUUUUUACAUUUCAGACUUUGUUUAUUUUUGCGAAAAAAGAAUAAUUAAGAAAAUUGUUUCUUAAAAAUGAUCAUUUGUACCACUUGAAAUAAUUAGCCAAUGAAAAACAUUUAUCAUUAUCAGCAACUACUUAUGUCCAAAAUUUUUCCUGAAUGAUCAAAAUAUUUUCCGUUCAUUCAUUUCUACAAAUAAAUAUUUUUAUAAUAAUUCAUUUUUUGCGAAAUAAACGAAAUAUCUGUUACAAAUGUUUAUACAAAAGACAUUUCCUUUCUGUUUUUGCUUUGACAACUAGGAAAAAAUGCCCCAGGCAAGAAAGCCCGUAUAAGUAAUUAUUGAUCUCACAAUAGGUUGUAUGUAUAUUAAUUUGCCACUCAACUCAUUUAGUUAUCCUCAAAAUAACAUUAACUCACAAAACUCGGACUCACACUUCGCCAAAAAUGUUGUUCUUCAAUGGUCAUUGGAGGAUGGAGGGGACAAGUUAAUCAAGACCGCAGUGGAUUUGCAUGGCGGCGAGGAAGAGAAUUUGAUAGAUAUCAACAUUUCUCCGGCGAGAAAGUGUCACGGUGAAGGAUAUAUUCGGCUUAUCCAUCGAACUGAUAUUGAAGUUGAAGGUGAAUGCGAGGAUUUUGGAUUCUAUUCAUUUUUCAUUUUUGUUUCUUUGGGGAUGAGAGACUCUAACGGAAUUGAAAUCUGCCAAAAAAGAGAAAUCGGAUAUUGGAUAUAUCAACGGUUGAGAAUGGAGAAAAAAAUGUCUAUUAGAGAAGACAAAUGGCUUAAGAAUGGACCCAUGGGUGGCCCGGCGACAAGAGAUGAGCCACUCAAAGUGGCUGAUUUAAUAAAUAUGGAAGCGACACAAUGGAAAGAACCUCUGUUAAGGUCCAUGUUUGAUCAUCAGCAAGUCUCGAAAAUCAUAGCUAUCCCUAUAGGCCUCUCGACCAAAAAGAAUAGAUUGGUAUGGACAGAUAACAAAUCGCGAAACUAUAUAGGGAAAAGCGGAAUUUAAACGACAGAAUCACAACAAUCAGCCCACACAAACCAGAACUUUGGAAGCAUAUAUGGAAAUUAGCAAUAACCCCUAAGAUUAAAUUCUUUUUAUGGAAUGCAUGCCAAAAUGCUUUGCCAACUUUGGAGAAUCUAUACAAGAGGAAGAUAGUACCUGCACCUAUAUGCCUAAUUUGCAACCUCGAACUGGAAACGAUCGAGCAUACCCUGCUGCUCUGCCCUUGGACCUCUCAAAUUUGGAACCCGCAAACUCUACAAGUCAAAAUAUCUAGAGCGGGUUUGACCCGAUUCGAUGAGUGGCUAUAUAAUGUGAAAGAAGAUCCACGAAGCUCACCAAAAAUUUGAUCUAAUCGUGACCGCUUUGUGGUGCAUUUGGAAGGACAAAAGUCAUCUUAAGGAAAAAACCCCCUGAACCCGCAUCAUACCCUGUUCAAAGCCUCAACGUUACAAGAUAGUUUUGCGACUUGGAGCCAAAAACCAAAAGAACAGCAAAAACGUGAAGUCUCACCUCAGAAGUGGCGACCCCCAAAUCUUGGAAUGAUCAAGAUCAACAUAGACGCCUCUUUUGUUAGCCUCAGCGUACACCCAGCCUCUGAAGUAGACCAAGGAGAUGGCGUCUUCACCUCUAGUACAUCCCCAGCCUCCGAUCCAACUAGAGGGGCCGGUUUCUUUCGAUCCAAUGCACCUCCAGCUUUUGAACCAACCAGAGGAGCUGUCACCUACUUUGGCGCAAUUCCAGCCUCUGUUCCAACUAGAGGGGCCGAGGCACACCCAGCCUUUGAAUCAAAAAGAGGGGCUGUCCUCUGCAACUCUGGUCCUCCCCCUGCCUUAGAUCUGACCAGAAGGGCCAGUGACCAUUACAAUCACGCUUCCCCAGCCUCCGAUCCCACCAGAGGGCUUGUCUUCAGCAGCAAUGAUGUUCAUCCAGCUUCCGAUCCACUCAGAGGAGCUGUCGCUUUUAUCUGCCGCGACUCCCUAGGCAGAUUAGUAGAUGGGUUCGCCAAAUCGGUUGCAGUCAGCUCAGCAGAACAAGCAGAGGCUACGGCGCUCGUCGAAACCCUAGAUUUUAUCUCCACCAAGUUUCCUCCGAACGGAACUAAACUGAAGCUAACCGCAGCAAGCUCGUGCACAGCAUUUUCACUUCAUAGGAGUUCAGCUGGGAUGCACAACCAUUGGUGGACCGGGCCAAGACAAAGAUGCAAGCAAUUCAGGCUAUUUGGUUCGAGACGAAAAAGAACACCCAAUGUCUUCCUCGCUUGAGUCAGUUGAUAUAAUGACGACUCGCAAAAUGUCUUCCUCGCUAGUGGCCUCCAGGUCAAAAGAAACACAGUUUCGACCUUUUCCUUAUCUUUUUAUCCUACUUUCCUUGCGAGUGGCCUCCAGUUCAAAAGGAACACGGUUUCAAACUUUUCCUCAUCUUUUUAUCUUUACUUUCCUUGCGAGUGGUCUCCAGGUCAAAAGCAACGCGCUUUCUACCUCUUUCUUUAUCCUACUUUCCUAGCACCAAUAAGGAAACGCGAAAAGUUGUUACUAAUUCUAAAUCAAAUUUAUUAACUUAAUGAUGUUUCCAGUUAUAUGAUAAUCCGAUGCACCUUUGCUAGAAUAUUUUUCAUGAACUAGUUCACUGGCCAUCACAAAUCAAUAAUGAGAAUCAAUCAUUGCACUUUUUUUUUAGUAUCAAAUGAACAUAAACAAUCCUUAGCAAACAAAUUUACAUUUCAGACUCUAUUUAUUUUACGAAAAAUGAAUAAUUAAAAAAAUUAUUUCUUAAAAAUGAUCAUUUGGAUCAUUUGAAAUAAUUAACCAAUAGAAAAAAUGUAUCAUUAUCAAUAACUACUUAUGUCCCAAUGUUUUCACGAAUGAUGAAAAUAUUUUUCAUUCAUUCAUUUCUAUAAAUAAAUAUUUUUAAGAAAAUAUUUUUAUAAUAAUUCAUUUUUCGUGAAAUAAACUAAACAUAUGUUACAAAUGUUUAUACAAAAGACAUUUCCUUUCUGUUUUUGCUUUGACAACUAGGAAAAACAUGCUCCAGCCAAGAAAGCUUCGACACCUAAAUUUUGAUUAGAUUUUUAACUAAGCCUUAAUUUCUUUUUUUUCCCUUUUUUUCGGAUAAUAAUAAUAAUAAAACAGCAGCCGCACAGCCCCCUUUUUUUCUCUUCUCCCUCUUUUUUUUUUCCCGGCCCUUCCCUCCUUUUCUCCUUCCUCCCUUGUCUUCUUCCUCAACCCCUGCAGCCAGCACAGCACCUACGGCCGAGGGGGUAGGCCGACGUCAGCCGGAUGAGACGAAUCUCAGGCGCCAUUAAUGGCCACCUUCAAUGCCAAGCUUGCCUCGGUGGAGGAGCGAGGAUGGGACGCCAGUCCAGCUGAGGGGGUCCGGUCGGCAAGCCAAAGGCCGGCGGCCGAGGCUCUCCUUCGACCGGACCCCCCCUCACCUAUAAAUAGGAGGGCACCACCUCCGUCGACGGCAAUGAGUGAGCUCAGAAACCUUCCCCGGAGAGACUUCAGGGGGGAGAUCGAAGAGUGAGCGAGGGAGAGAACGGGUCGCGAGCUCAAACGACCUCCCUCCGAGAGAGAGAGAGAGAGACCAACCCAGAUCUGCGGGUCGAAGGAGGAAGGGACUCAGACGUCGUCGCGGUGAGCCAGGGCUCUUUUUUGUUGUUGUUUGUUGCGCGCGUCGAGGUCAUCGGGCCGGAAUCCGCGGCCGUCGGCUUCACGCGGGUUCCGGGCCCCAACUGUCCAUCGUCCGCCCCGCCGGUCCUUGCUGCUCGACCGCCCGGAGCCUCUCCGCGAUCACAACCUCGAAUAGGCCUCUAAUCCUGCCCCCCUCAGUCGGCAUCCUCCAGGUGCUCGACGGAAAUCCCAGACAAUCUCACCAGCCGCUCUUAGAUCUAUGGUGACCGGCAGCGACGGGCGACGAGAUCGGCUACAACGGCUGGCUGAACGAGGGACAAGGUGACAACGGCGGAGGCCCGAGCUCAGACCGAGACGAGCCCGGCCGCCUCCGCCGCGGAUCAUCAAAUCUCGAGGACUACGAAAAAGUCGGGUCGGCGAAGAGAAGCAGGUCACGGCCGGGUCGUCAAUCGGAGCCGGGUCAUAAUCGGGUAUGGUUUCGGUCAGUUUAGGCCAACCAGGCCCGGUCGCGUGUGGGCUGUCUCGCGCGGGCUCAGAGGUGCGUAGUCCCUUUUUAUUUUUUUGGGCUUUGAGUGAAAAAUUCUGGGCUAGGCCCAUGCCUCAGGUUCGGCUAGGCCGGCGGUUGGCCGAUCGGGUCGGAGGCCAGCAAAACAAGUCGGACCCGACCCGGGUCAUUUUUUAAAUAUAUUAUAUUAUAAUAAAAAAUAAUAUUUUAAUAAAAUAAAAUCAAAAUCAAAAAAUAAUUUAUUUUCAAAAAAUAAUAAAUAAAUAAAAAUAUCCCAUAUUUUCCAAAAAAGCCAAAAAUGAUUUAUAUUUUCAGAAAAAGAUCAAAAAUCCAAAAAAUGAUUUUCUUGGUAAAGAAAAAAAAUCGUUUUCCUCCGCAAAAUGUUUGGAAAAUCCCUUAAAAAUUCAAAAGCCUUAAGAUUUAAAUAAGAUUAGGUACCGAAAGAGCAUUAAUGAUUAAUUAGUAUAAUCAAAUUUACGAACCUAGAGUUAGCCUCCGUUGGGCACCCGCCCUAAUUGAGCGCCGAAAAAAGAGGACGCGACAAAAGUCCGAAUAAGUAAUUCUUGAUCUCACCAAAGAUUGUAUGUAUAUUAAUUUUUCACUCAACUCAUUCAAUUAUCCUCAAAAUAACAUUAACUCACAAACCCCGGACUCAUACUUCGCCCAAAAUGUCGUUCUCUGAUGGUCAUUGGAGGAUGGAGGGGACAGGUUAAUCAAGACCGCAGUGGAUAUGCAUGGCGGCGAGGAAGAGAAUUGAUAGAUAUCAACAUUUCUCCGACGAGAAAGUGUCACGGUGAACAAUAUAUUCGGCUUAUCCAUCAAACUGAUAUUGAAGUUGAAGGUGAAUGUGAGGAUUUUGGAUUCUCUUCAUUUUUCAUUUUUGUUUCUUUGGGGAUGAGAGACUUAGAGAAAUUGAAAUCUGCGAAAAAAGAGGAAUCGGACAUUGGAAAUAUCAACGGUCAAAGUACGGACCUCGCUUGAUCCAAAGGUCUGAAAUUGAUCUUAUGCGGAAUCGUUGAACAUUCGUUUUAAUGGCAAAAUAGGAAGGGACAACGCCACAAGGACUUUUUGCCCGGCCACGAUGGCCCUUUGCGGGGCCCACCAUUAUUUCUCUAUUACUUUAAUGAUUGAUACCAAAAAAAUUCUAAACUACACAAAUAUCUCAAACUUUUUUUAGUCACUAAAAACCCUAAAUUUGUUAUACAAAUAAUACAAAAAAAUUUUAAGUCAUAAAAAAAACCCGAACUUAUAUAAUAGUGCAAUAUUGGGAAUAUAUUUGGAUACUGUAAAAGUUAAUGAUUUAGUAUCUACAUUGCCUUAUAUAAUCUUGCCUUUAUUAUCUAUCUAUUUUUAUAUUAUAGUUGGCGAUAUAAUUCGACACUAUUCAUUAUGGCUACGUUUGGUCGUCCGGAUUUCUAAUCGGGAUAGGGCUGGAUAAGAUAGGCUAUGAAAUCCUUGGAUUUUUUUAUAUCUUGUCCAUUGUUCGGUGAAUCACAGUAUUAAAAUCGGAUAUGUUUUCAUCAUAUCAUAUACAUUUUUUUUUUAUAUAAAUGGCAUAUCAUUAUAAAUGAACUUAAAUGUUCAUAAACGGAGAUAGUGAAAAUCUCUCGUAACACUAUUCCUUAAUUUAUUUUUAUUUUAUUUUUCCUCUUUUUUAUAUUAUUUUCUUUAUUAUUUAUUUUUCCCCUUUCAUUAUUAUUUAAUAAAAAUCAAAUAGUAAACUGUACUAACAUAUCUAAAAUACAAAAAUACCUAAAAUAUAUAAUAAAUAUAAAUAUUUAAUUUAUAGAUUGAAUGUUUAUUAUAAGAUAGAAUUAAAAUUGAAUAUAUAAAUUAAAAUAGGAUUAAUUAAAAAUGAUUUUUUUUAUUUUUAAUUUCUUAAAUUAUAAUUCAAAUAUUAUUUAUAUUGAAGUAUAAUUUCAAUUUUAUUAAUUUAAUAAGUUUGUUAUUCAAGAGAAAUAACUUUCCUAGUAUGGACAUUAGAAAUCCUAUCCGCCUUUAUCCCACCUCCCCCAUGGAAUAUUUUAUCAUGUCUAUAUCCCUUUUAUAUCCGACUUUAUCAUGUCCUAAGCGAGUACCAAACAUAGGAUAGAAUAAAUCAUAUCCUAUUCCAAAUUUUAUCCUAACUGCCAAACGCAGCCUAUGUGUUAUGUUACCUUGUAAUAUAACCGAACUAAACAGAACCGAACGUCUGAUCUCCCUAUUCCACUCUACUCUAAUCAUUAGAACUAUUCAUUUUUAAUAGAAAAAUCAAAGGAAAAAGAAACAUCGGAUGGAGCUAAGUUUUAUUCAUCCGACGAAAAUAAUGCUUGGCCACAUGGUGACCAAAUGAGAAACAUCGAACUAAUUUAUGCCAAAAAAAAUUGGUAAAAUCGUAUUAUGUUGUCAAGCUUAUUGAUGAAUACGUGAACAAAUUGAUUGCUCGCCUGUUCAUUUUUCAUUAUUAAUUUGCAAUUGGAAAUUUAUGUCAUAAAUACAAUGUCACCAUGUCCAUAGCCUUAUCACUCAAUAUAUUAGUCCAAAAAAUGUUGGAAGUCCAGAGAUGUGCACUUGAGUCAAACUUUAUUGAGAGAUUUUGCUUUCUUUUGCUAGUCUUUUCAUUUUUGCCUUAAUUACGGUAAAGAUCCUACAACUUAUGUUUGUCCGAUAUUUGAGUUCCAAACUUUUGAUUUCUAUAAUUAAAUGCUAAACCUUGUCAAUGUUCUCCACCUCAGUCCUUCCUUAUAUCCGUUAAUUUUUCAGACCAUGUAACAUUUUUUUAUUAAUUGUUUUUAUUUGCAUAAGUGGCAUUUUUUCUGAUGCCAAAUAGGCAUCACGUCAGGAAAAACUUACAGUUUUUUUUUUAAAAGACUAAAAUUGAAAAAAGAAGAAGAAAGAAGUCAAAAGAGAGAUCGUUGAAGGUGAGGGCUGGAAAAAGUCCCAAAUUGCCCCAGUAUUCUACCAAUUAGUUAUCCAAGAUUCAAAACUUCUAUCGAAUGAGAGAAAGAUCCACCGAGGGCAGUAGUUCUAAAGAUGACAGAUAUACAAAGAGGAAGAAAUGUUUUUUCUUUGUCCAUUUGCAUCUUGGAAUAGUUAAUGAGCCCAAAUCAUUCGUUAAAUUUAUGUGAUAUGCUACUUCUAUUAACCCAAAGUUCUAUUACGAGGCAGCAGACCUAUGGAUCUAUUUCUUAGUUUUUAUUUCUAAUCCACUAGUUAGUUAUUGAAUUUAGAAAGAAAACAAAAAUAGUAUGAGAGCAGGUUGAAUAAUUUCGUAGCAUAAAUAGAAAUACUAUUUACAUUGAUUAAAAGUAAAAGUGCAUACAAUUUUUUGGCCAUAUUUAUUUAUAAAUCUUUUUAUGAUUACUUUCGUUUUUUUAUAUGUAUUUUAAAGUUGCAAUAUUUCAAAGUAGGACGAGACAACUUCCUUUAACGUGCUGUAAACCAUUGUAGCUUUGGGCGUGUUGUAGUUAUUGGGGUGUUUAUCAAAUUCCUUUAAUAGUUAGAGCACUCCUUUUCACGCCUGAAACUCUUACUAAAAAGUUGACCAACAACCUCUUUACCUAAACAAGGACAUGGAGACUGUAAUUGGUUUUGGCUGGACCAUGCCAUAUUUUAACUUGGAAACUAUCAUCUCGUUUUGCUUCGAAGACCAACCAGAAUUUAUGCAAUCGGAAGCAGGCAUUUCCCUUUUCUUUCCGGGAAUGAUUGAGGUUAAGGAGUCCAACUCCAACCUUAAGGCGAGGUAAAAAUGACUGAAAUCAUUAUUUUAUUUCGAAGAUAAGAAAAUUCCUCAUCCAAUUAGAAAUGGGGAAAAAUAGCACUUGAUUUGGCAGAAAGAAAGGUUCCGCUAGAUAUGGAAGACAUAUAUUUAAUGAUCAGUUUUUAUCCCAUUUCCCUUAUUGUUGGGCAAGUGAUGUUCCUUUUCAUGCCAAUAUAUUCUCUUCACCUGCUUAAUGAACACGACCGCUUUCUUUGAAAAAGAAACAUUGCACCAAAAAUCCACGUUUGUUAAAUGAAAGAAAGAGUUCUCCCACCAUCGAGAAAAGUAAUAAAAAUAUCAUAAGUCUAUUGCAUUGCUAUCCAUUCAAUUAUAAACAUUUCACACAGACCAAUUUAUUACUAAAUAUUUUUAUAUUAAUAUCACUUGAGUUCAUUCGGCUAAUUUAGGCCGGAAAUUAUAAAUGUCAAUGCUGAUCAUUUUACAGGACAUGAUUGGCACUAACAUGUAUAUAUUAUUAUUAUUAUUACUUUUUUUUUUUGUCUUUCUUUUCUUCCAUGGCCUUUGUUGGCAUUGGCACCACCAACACAGACCGUGGCUUGUGAGGGUUGGCCUCGCCUCAGUGAAGGUCGGCUUGCCUAGGUGAGGGUAAGUGCCAGUGAGGCCGACCCUUGCCUAGGUCAGGACGGCCUUAAUGAGCAUUGCUUGGGUGUGAGUAUGGCCUCGCUAGGCCUCUCCAUGGAAGUAACGAGCUCGAGCUCGAGGUUCUGGUCAGUGAAGGGCGCGAGCCGCUCAGCGUGUUCAACUGGGGCGAUCACUUCGCUCUGCUGGGUGUCGGUUCUACAGCGCAUGAGGGGAGGCAUCGGGAGCUCUGCCAGAAGGUGAACAUCUUAGUGGGGCUCGUGGAAGAUCACGGGAUGUAGAGCAAGGUCAAAGGUGAGAGCUGUCGAGACUUCAUCAACGUCUCGCUUGACUCGGACAAGGAGAACCAUCUCGGUGACUGACGUGAUUGCUGUUCUCACCCGUGGAAGAGAAAAAAAAGGAAGAAAAGAAUUAUAAAAAAUUAAAAAUAUCAACGUGAGUAAUUUCGAGCUAAAAUUGACCGGAUAGAUUCAAUUAGUAUCAAUAUGAAAAAGGUAUUAGAAUAAAUUAAUACAAUUAAAAAAUUUAAAACUGAAUUUAUAUCAAUAUAAUAGGUUUAGAACUUUUCAAACAUUUUUCUCUUUAACGUGUUCAUGACAUACUUAAUGUGAAAGGAAGUAUGUCAAGUCUUCAAAGUUUCGGUGUCCGAUUCAAGCUUUGUCGAAGAGCAAAAGUUGCAAGUGCUUCUCUCAUUAAGACACCGAUUUUGGGGCAAUUGAGUAGACGAACGAGGGAAAGGCAUUUGAAGGUUGAGAAAAUUUAUGGAGCAAUGAGGAGUCGUGGAAAUGCGCAGAGAGAGAGAGAGGGUAUUAUCAAGAUCUACCUUUUGUCCAUUUAAACUUCUGCUCUUCGCCUCUGCCCAUAAUUUGAAUGUAAUUGUUACACAAAAUACUUUUAAUAAUUGUUCAUGUCCAUUAAAACUUCUGCUCUUCGACUUGUCAUUGAUCGAUACCUUCGACUUGUUCAUGUGCUGCGGAGCAAUUGGAGCAUGUUUGCUUGAGCGAAGCGUCUUGUUGGCGAUCGUCAGGGGGAGGAUCGGUGUUACCUGGUCUGCUGAGUAGGACAGUGAAUCCGGGGAAUGGCUAGCGGUGACUGGGGUUUUGGCUCGGCUAGACCCAGUGUCUUAUGAGAUCCGACCUUGNNNNNNNNNNNNNNNNNNNNNNNNNNNNNNNNNNNNNNNNNNNNNNNNNNNNNNNNNNNNNNNNNNNNNNNNNNNNNNNNNNNNNNNNNNNNNNNNNNNNAGCUGACUUCAUCAUUCUGAAUAGCAAAGCUCUCCGAACUCAUCAGCUUCUUUCUGACUUGGUCUCUACCAUCUUCUUCCGAUGCUCGGGUUUCGUUCGACAGACGUAUUGGUCCACACGCUCUCAAAGAAUACUUGCAAGAUAGCUGGCGUGUCAAUAAUCUUUGGGAAACAUUGAAUGUGAAACAACGUUUCACUCAGUGCGGCAAAUUGUCGUAACAAAGUUUGAGCUCCCGAAGGAUGUUGCUUCUUUGUCCUAUACGUUGUCUAGCACGAGGAAAAAAUUUCUUACUAUUUACCAAGCAUUGCAAAUGGGUCCGCAAUUGCUCAAUGUCCAAGGUAUCUAAUAGCGGCUGAAACACUAAUCAAGUCUCGACUGAUGGUGUCUCUUCAGAAUUUUUCAAAAGUUCUCUUUAGAUCAAAAUCAUUGGAAAUGCAUACCGAUGUUCGAAAGUCGAAAACUAUUCUUGGACCUUUGCGUCAUCGUACACAACUUAGCAAGCAUUGUUUUGCCUAAGCAUCCCAUCCUAGUUAUCAUGGGAGGGCAUGGUAUUCGAACUAGUGACAACUUACCAUUCUUGGUAAUGAUCACUCGUCGUGGGAAAUGACGUGAAGGGCACCCAAAAUGAUGGGCAAGGCCCAAAAAAUGAUGCGCAAGGUUUUAGGUACACAAAACCUGGCCAGAAUGACCACCCCAUCCUCCAACACAUUCAUGGAGAAUUCCUUAGAGCCCGUUUGGUAUAUUUGUGGUUGAAUUGUAACCGUGCCAUACGGUGUUGUAGUACAUGUCUUAAAGUAGCGACACCUCAAAGCCGGAUGAAACGAUGUCUCAAAAGAUGCCAUGAGCUGUUGUAGCUUUGGAAAGGCUGUACUUGUUGAGGUAUUUAGNNNNNNNNNNNNNNNNNNNNNNNNNNNNNNNNNNNNNNNNNNNNNNNNNNNNNNNNNNNNNNNNNNNNNNNNNNNNNNNNNNNNNNNNNNNNNNNNNNNNGACUUUUCUCCCCCACCACCCGUUGGUCAUUUAUGGCCUUCCAAUCAUUCCCCAAAGUCUGGAUCGUGCUCCCGAUGUCAUCGAUCAUCACUUUCAACUUGUUCAUGUGCCGAGGAGCAACUGGGGCUUGUACGCUUGAGCGAAGUGUCUUCUUGGCAAUCGUCACAGGGGAAGAUCGGUGUGACUCAGUCUAAGAGGUGCUCCAAGGAGGAUGAUGAUUCGACAGGAUGGGCGACGGCGGCUGGAAUCUUGGCUCGGCUAAACCCAAUGUCUUAAGAGAUCCGUGCACGAUGGCUUAUUGACAUGAAUUCCAGCUAUGCAUGCUGUAGUUUUUUUUUCAUUUUGUGUUAGAUUUAGCAUAUCUUGGAGAUCAUCAUCGGAUUGAUCGUGAGCUGGCUUCGUCAUUCUGAAUAGCAAAGCCUCACCGAACUCCUCGGCUUCUUUUCGACAUGUUUUCUGCCAACUUCUUCCACUUCUUGGUUUUCAUUCGACGGACGUAUCCGUUCACAUGCUCUUCAAAGAAUUCUCAAACGAUAGCCGGUGUGUCAGUAAUCUUAGGGAAACACAGAACAAAACGUGAAACAACAUUUCAUUUGGUGCGGCAAAUUGUUGUAACAAAGUUUGAGUGCAUGAAGGAUGUUGCUUCUUUAUACUGAUUCCCGCAUACUGCUAUUGUCUCUUGUUAAUAUGCCCACAAUUGCUAAUUGGCCCUCGAGAGAUUUCCGAGCAAGAGGAACUCAAUUGCAUAUCUCGACGAUUUUGAUUGUGAUUGCGAACCGUGCAUGUUCUUGCUUUUCAGUCGAAUGCCCAUCUGAGAAAAAGGAAGAGAGCGUCCAGAGAAGAAAGGCCUUUCAACUUGAAUGCUAAACUAGGCAAUUUCACUUAGCGCCUUCUACGAACGAAUCCGUCAUCUCGUUCCCCGUGCUCGUCGUCUAUAACGUCGUUUGGCACGAGGAAAGAUUUUUUACUGUUAAACAGUAUCGCCAAAUGGUCCUGCAAUUGCUCAAUGUCCAAGGUGUCUAAUGGUGGCUGAAAUUCUAAUCAAGCUUUGAUUGAUAGUGUCUCCUCAGACUUUUUCAAGAGUGUUCUUCAGAUUAAAAUCAUUGGAAAUGCAUGCCCAUUUUUUGAAAUCGAAAAUUGUUCUUGGACAUUUUCGUUGUUGUACACGAAGUUAGCAAGCACUAAUAAUUAUCUUGGGAGGGCAUGGUAUCCAAACGGGCUCGGACACUCUCUAUGAUGCCAAAAAGGAUCGAUUUGGCCAUUUUCUUUCCACUAGAAAAACAAUAGGGGUAAUCAAAAGAACUUCAUGAACUGCAAACAAUAAACACAAAUUGUGUCUCGUCUUUGGCGAACAGUAAUGGCUAUACUAAAAACUGUUACAACUAAAAGGAUCAUUCUAUCUUAUAGGCAAUGGACCGAGCAUUAAUGUUUUAAUAUGGUGUGACUCGACCAUGGUUCUCACUUUUAGGGUGAAAUCCAAUUUGGCUAAGUCUAUGGGCCGAGACCCCUCUACCUCAUUCUAUUUUCAGGAUGCCCAAUUUGGGCAGUUCUGUGUACUCUAGUGUCGUCAUGAAAUCAACCGAGGAGGUGAUGAACUUACGAGGAGCCAUAGCAUACCCCAUCAUGAGUCCAAACAGAAGUACUUGGGAGAGUAAAUCUGAUGAAGGCUUUCAGCAGAUAACAAUAUAUUUAUUGGUCAUGCGAUUAGCCUUUGUGAAUUCAUAUUUUAAGAUUCAGUCUUAGGAGCAAAAGGAAAAGAAGAAUCUAAUCUUCCUAUGUAGAAGUGAAUUAAAAUAUAUUCAUAAUGAAAAGGACAUGAUUUUUAAAGGCGUUAUUUCUAGGAAAUUCUUUAAGUGGUCUAGUGAAAUAAUUACAAAAAGAUCGAGAAAUUGAUGUUGAUUUACCAAAAAUAAGAUUUGCUGGUGUAGUGUGAUGUCAUUCACUGUCCGUGGAUGAAAGAUAAAUAUCAAUAUAAUAAAAUUUAAAUAGAGAUAAUGUGAUAGUUGGUCUCAUACGAUACAAAUUAGGCAUUUCUUCCAUAUAGAAAUUUGCAAUACAAACACAAAUUAAUAAUAAAGAACCACACUCAAUCAAGGAAAUAAAGAAAGACAUAAAAAUAUCAAUAGCCACUGUUUUCAUCCAUGAAAAUGAAAGAGAUUGACGAAGGAUUAGCUGAGUGUACAUCCCCAUGCCGCGGCAAAUAAAUCGUGAGAGUUCAUCUGCACUCAAAAGAGGAAAAAAUGAGUUUAGAGUAUCUAUGAUACGGUAUUAUGGCAUUUAUUGUGGUAUCAUAUGAAUUUAUUUUCGUUUUUUUUUUUUUGUAAGAAGGAGCUAGGUGAAGGCCCCGCGGCUUGUUGUUAAUGUAGAACAUUUAGAUACUUUCACAAUAUUUAAGGCGAUUAUAUUCGUAAAUAUUUUUUUCAUUAUUUAAAAAAAAAAUUGAAUAGCAUUUUAAAUUUUAGCAAGAACGCAAAAAGAUACUUUUUACUUUGGCUUGAAAUUCUUGAGUUGAGGACCUGUUUAUUAUUAUACUAAGGAUGGAUUUGGUUCGGCUUUCAAAUGAGCCCUGGGAAAAUACAAAUGCCUUUGACUUGAAACCCCUUAGAGAAAUGCAUAUUGCGUUUGAUAAAGAAUCUUUUAUAAAGGUACUUUGGCCUAAGUAGUGUUUGGCAUAUAUAUAUUUGCAAAGGGCUUUUGGAUUUAAUUUUUCUUUUCCUUUUUUAUUAAAAAAAUUAAACCCUUUGGCGAAAGGCUAAGGUUGCAUGAUGGCCACUUGAGUCACGCAACCUCGCAGGCCCCUCACUGGCCAUUCGCUGACAUGAUCUAACCUCAUCAGCCCUCACCAGCCACUUUCGCUCAAGAAAAUGAAUGGUAAUGAGGGGCAAAAUCGAAAAUUAAAGAAUUGGUGAGAGUAGUUUCAGAAGAAGAAAACUAGUUUUAACAUUUGGCAAAAUGUUAAAAGCUCGAUACUAAUCCCUAUUAGCAUUGGGUUUUUAGCUUUCAGCAUUUGGCCAAAAGCCCCAUUAUAAAACUUGCUAGACAUCCCAACAUUUUUUCAAGGAGUUUUGGAGAUUAAAAGCCCAUUGGAAAAUUGAAUCAAACGUAGUCUAAGUCACUAGCCGACAAACCUGUGCCUCAGUGUAGCUAUAUUUUCAUGACAAAUAUUUACAAAUAUUCAAUUUAGUGAGAAAAGGAUAUCCUAUUUUGUAGAAAUAUUCUUAGCCACAUAAAUUUCCUUUUUUAUUUCCAUCACACAUUACAUCUUUAAAAAAAAAAAAAACAUGUUAGGGUAAAUUAAAUCAUAAAAUAGUUCUAAAAGUGGACCUGCAUCUAAGGGGUUUUAACUUUACGCUUUUUGUUAUUUAAACUGCUGUAAAAAUAAAAAUAAAAAUGAAAGAGGUGCAAUUGCUCUAAGUGAGCCUUCAAACUAAAUUAUAUGGAGAAGCAGUCUUUCUCGUGCUAUGCAGGAAUUGAAUUCAUAGUAUAAAAACAUUUUCUUUUGGUUGUUUCAUUAUCCAAGUUAAAAGUUUUAGAUAGUAUUACAAAUUGAGUGUAUAAUUUUAAGUAUAACUCCAGUAUUAAAUGCAAUUUUUAAUUUUUUCGUCAAAUUUAAAUUGGUUUAUUUACUUUACAAAUAGAAUUAUUUAAUAUUGAAUUCCUUUUGCAAUCUAAUGACCUAGUAUGGAUUGUAUCUUCGUAAAUAUUUUUUUCACAUCACUUUUUCUUUUUCUAAUUGCAAUAGUUUAUUUAAAUUUAUUGCAAUGGAAGAAUUUAGUGAAUCGCUAUAUUAUAUCUAAGAAUGCAGAAGAAAUAGAUGGAUGCUUACCUAAUCCUCCAUCCUUUGUACCCAUUUAAGAUCAAGUUGGAUUCGAGGAAUGUGAGCGAUGUUGGGCCAAUCCUUGCCAAUUGUUGGUCGACAUCUCUCGCUUAGUUCACCACAAUAUUCAAUGCAUAAUUCUUUGAGAGGAAUGAGGGAUUGGAUUUCUUGCGGUAUAAAUGAUAAGUUGGGACAUCAUAUCAAGCGAAUUACUCUGAGAUGUAUGUGAUUGGGCAGCCAUACUGGUAUAGCCGUAAAGCUCGGGUAGUCAUAAACAGCAAAGAACUCCAAAGUGUAGGCAGACUCAUCGAGACAUUGGAGCAACUCCACCACUUGUUCGGACUUUGAUAUUGAUAGCGUACAGAGAUUCGAAGGAAGGUUGGACUUGUUAUCCUUGGUCAACUUGAGCUUGCAAUUAUUAAUUACCAAGGACUCCAGGGCGAUUAAUUUCACGAAAAGUAGAGAUAUUGGUCCCACGCAAUGGAUAAUUUCCAAUUUUCGAAGGCAAGUAAGUUGGCAAGUACCUUAAAAAAAAACUCGAAGAUUUUGGCAUCCGCGGAAUCCCAAAAAUUCCAAAUUUUCUAGGUAUUGUAUUCCACUUUCUUGCAGACUCAUUUGCUUUGUUGUUACGCUUAGUCGUCUAAGGUUGAUGAGCCUCUUCAUUUUUUUGGGUAAAUCACCUAACUCUGAGCAAUCAUCAAAGUAUAAGUAGAGCAAACUCUGUAACUCACAAAUGGAAUCUGGAAGCUUCUUCAAUCGCUUGUUAUUACCAAGAAUUAACAACCUCAAUUGCUUCAAGUUGCAUAUGGAACUUGGCAGCUCCUCAAAACUACCAAACCCCAAAUUUAGGUACCAUAAGUGAUUACAUUUGGAGAUGCAUGUUCUAGCAAACUCUCUAUUAAUAACUCCAUCAUCAACUUUGAAUUGAAAAUUAAUUGCAUGGAGCCUUUUUGAAGUUGGCUUUCUUAGAAAAGGUGGGACUCCAUCAAAAUUUGAGAUUCCCUCCAACGAAUUAGUGGAGAAUGAAAUGUACCGAACUCUUUCCGAAAUCUCUACAGUAUCUAAGCCAACAACAGAGCAAUCAUCUUGAGCCACAAUCAUUGCUAGAGAAUGGACUAGAUCGUGCAUUUUAAAACUUAAAAUUGAUUCGGACUCCUCAACUUCUUGGAUCAAAGAUCUCUUCCACAACACUUUGAUGUAGUCAACACCAACAUCUUCCAAUGCUAGUUUUUCUGUUGAUGAACUAAUGAGUCCUAAACUCAUCCAUAACAUAACUAACAUAUAGCUAUGGAUUACAUAUCCUCUGGGAAAAAAGUGAUAAUGUGGCAAAACAACGUUUUAAGUGGGACGGUAAAUGAUUAUAGCUAAGUUUAAGCACCGGCAAGACGUCCUCUUCUUCUUUCAUUAACUUCCAUAUCUCACUAUCUCUUAUAUGGGCCCAAUGUUGUUCUUCGUCCUUUGUGUAAAGUACACUGCCUAAAGUUUUCAGAAGGAGAGGAACUCCUUGACAUUUUAUGACAAUGUCAUUUCCAAUGUCAAGGAGAUCAGGACGUGGUCGCUUUUCCUUUUCAUCAAAUGCCCAUUUUUUGAACAAGGCCAUGGAAUCUUCAUGAGAAAGACCUUUUAGAUUAUGCGUUGGAUGGGUACCCAUCGUAGAAGCGACUUCUGAACUGCGCGUUGUCACAAUUAUCUUGCUUCCACUAGCUCCUUCAAUUAGCAAAGCUUUCAAUUCUUCCCAUCUACUGUGGUUGUUGCUCCAUACGUCAUCCAAGACCAGUAGAAAUUUCUUGUCUUUGAUGGUGGUUCGCAGAAUAGUUUGCAAUUGCUGAAUAUCAAGGUUACUCAAGCUUUGACUAUUUGCAUCUUUGAUGAUUCUUUCGAUAGUCUUUUCUAAAUCAAAAUCCUCAGGUACACACACCCAUAGUAGCAAUUCAAAUUGCGCUUUCACACCGUCAUCAUUGCAAAUUGAUUUAGCUAGGGCCGUCUUGCCCAUACCUCCUAUUCCCACAAUGGGAACCACCGAGAGGUUUUUGUGAUCUGGCCGCAUCAAUAUCUCAAUUAUUUUUUGUUUAUCAACAUCUCUUCCGACGACAUCUAACUUGUUUAUGAACAAGUGAGUAAUCUCUCGUGACUGCGAGUGUCCCAUACCACUGUCAACACUCCGCACAUUAAGACCAAAAUUGAUUCUUAUCGAUGAAAAUUUUAGAUAAUGUCUCCCUAAUCUCCUUGAUCUUAUGACUGAUUUUUGCACGGAGUAUCACUGGAUUAGAGAGGGAGAAGAAGCGGUGUACCUUCUCUUUGACGCCCCCGUACUGACUGAUUACCCGCUUCCGUAAGGUUUCACACUCGAGUUCAUCGAGCACAUCCUCUGCAUCAUACAACACGUCUCGAAGCCGACCUAGCCACAGUUGCAGGCUGCAGUUCUUCGCCCGUUGCUCCUCAGCAUCUAACAACACGGCAGUAAUGGCAGCCAACGUAUUUUCAAGCUCGUGGAUCUGAUCUUUGAUGCUGUAAAUUGCGACGGCUUCUUUGAACGCCGGGGAUGCGAUCUUCCCCAGCACACCCUGUGCAACGCUGAAGAGGAAUGAUUCAGCCAUGCUAGGUGAUGGGGAAAAAGAUUCAGGCUAUUUGGUUCGAGACGAAAAAGAACACCCAAUGUCUUCCUCUCUUGAGUCAAUUGAUAUAAAUGAUGAUGGCUUGCUUACGAUUGGAUGAAAGGGAGGUUCUUUCCUUACGAAUGGCCUGGGAGUUAACAGGAAACAUGCUUUCUCCUUUUUCUUUGAUCUUGCUUUCCUGGGAACAAUAAAGAAUCCAGAUUACUUCAAAGGUCCAAUCUCAUAGAAGUAUCUAUUCUUUACUUGUCUAUGUAAUUCACCUGAAAAUGAUUAUCUAUAUAACUUAGAAAAGUUAGAUUACGAGAAAUUCUUUCGUAGUUAGACGAUGAGAAUACUUUGUCAUUAAUUAAAUUUUGUGAGUGAUAUAGACAAUCAUUGUUAGUUAGGAAAAUAUUUUCUACAUAGUUUAAACAGUUCUUUGUCAUUACCUUUUCAGAGAUGAUCCAGAAUACUAAUAAGGUUAUGGAAAGAAUUAUUGAUCAAACCCAAAGAAAAAAAAAAUAAGCUGGCAUCUGAAGAAAUCGAAUAAAAAAAAAUAUGGAACAAUAGAAAAGAAUCGAAAGCAAAUUCUGCCUUAACUAUCUGAACCACAGUUUCUAUGGAUUAAUUUAGAGCGAGGCAUUGGGAACUCCAAGACUCAUCUCUUUUAUUCCAUGCCAAUCAAACCACGCAAAGAAUCAAAAGAUAAGCAUAUAUUGAUGGCGUUAUGUAUCAAGCAAAGUGGAACAAAAUGAGAUAGAGUCAAGACCUUGUACGGACCAUCAAUUGAACUCUUUUGCGAUGUGUUAGUUCAUCACUUUUAAAAUUGUCAAUUAGUGAUGAGCACUCGUUUCCUAAAGAUUUUGUGAAAAUUCUCUGUUUCCCAUCGAGAACCCAUCUGGUUCGCAAAAUUAUUUUCAUUUUAAUUUGAGGAUGAAAAUAGUUUUAUAUUCUCAAUUUCUGCUUUCUUGAAAAAGUGUUUGGUUCAUCAAGAAGAAAACUUUCGAUAGAAAUGAAACUAUGGGAUUAUGAAUGGUUGUAAUAAUUUCGAAAAGAGAACCCCUCAAUCCAUUUUAAUUGCCCGUUUGCCCAUUAAAUUACCAUUUUUCACUGAGAAAGCCCAAUAGAUUACUCUCAUCUGGAAAUUCUAGUACGUAGUUGUAUGAAGCCCACAUGCAUUCUGGUGAAUGUUUCAAGAGUUUUGGUUUUAAAAAAAAUCGAAACUCUUGAAUUGUAUGAUUUUAAAUUACACAAAAAUAAGUAAAAAGUAAAAGUUGAUCCAGACCACUUCAGGCCACUCUGAGCUUUCAUAAUUCCAAAAAUUUUUAGAGUGAGAGAGCAAUUUUAAGAUUGACAAGUAUUUGACCUCAAAUUGCAACCAUGUCUAAAGUAGAUAAUUCGACAAAUGAGCAUUUGUUUGUUUCACCUUCUCUAUAAUAGCACAAAAAUAAAUUUGAAUUUUUUAAGGGGUCAAUAUGACAUAUAUAUAGAUAAAUUUUUUUUUUAUGGAGAACACCAAAUUUAAAUUUAAAUUUUUUGUCGUAGAAUUCAUAGAUGAAAAAAGAAGAAAAAAGAAAAGAAAAGAGAGAGAGAGAGAGAGAGAGAGAGAGAGAGAGAGAGAGAGAGAGAGAGAAUGUAAAUGUGCUGUUUGGCCAAGGUUGGUCGUUCCAGAAUGUGGGAGCCCAACAACCGGCAUUCUCCUAGAGAAUCGGGUCGGUCUUUUCGUAAUUCCCCUCUUGAUCCAACCCGAAUGUCCAAAACAUUUCAGUCUUUUAUUUUCCUCCUUUAAUUUUAUUUUAUUUACAUUUUAGCAAGUAUUCUUGUCCAUGUCAUGACAUGUAUUGUUCCUAUAUAAUCCUAUAUUACUAAUUUCCAUACACGCGUGCACUGCAAAUAGUUACACAAUUUCAAAACGUUUUUAGAUAUAUCGAGUAAAAUAAAGAUCAAGUUUCAUCGUGACAUCCAAAAAAUGUACAAAAUUAAUAUAAUAAGGUCAUAUAAUUCUACCUUGAAUUUUCAAGCAUAGCUCUAAAAUUGUGUUCCAUUUCAAACACUGAAAAAUGAGGAAACAUUAUUGGAUAGGAUAUUUUAUACUUAAUUUUUUUUCUCGAAAUUUGACGGUUCCUUUUUGUUUUUCCGGAGAGAUGGUAGAAAAUUCCCAACUGAACAUGUAUUCCUCCAAUUUCUCAAUUUUCUUUUUUCUAUUAUUGGGUUUUGGCAAGAGUCCGACCAAAAAAAAAAAUGACAUGUAUUCCUCCAAUUUUUCAAUUUAUUUUUUUCUAUUAUUGGGUUUUGGCAAGAGGAAUAGAUAGCCAACCUUUUUUUCCUUUUUUUUUUUUUGGUCAUAAGAAGAUGGCCAACCUUACAAUGGCAACGUUUCAUGCCAAAUUGUCCAGCGCCGCAUCCUGGUUCUGACCACGUGCCACGAGGACUCAGCUUAUUUUUUUGUCGUUUUCUCUGGCUGGUUCUCUACCGGUAAGUUGUAGUUUGUACCUUACAUUGCUUAACUACUCAGAUUACUAAACCUCCAUUCAUAGGUAAAUCAGGAAAAUCUUAUCAAAUUGCUGCCCACUUGUUUGUGAAUUUCUAUCAUUUGCAUCGACUAGUGUUGGAUUUGAUUCGUCCAUGCACAAAAAAGGAGAAGAGUUACCCUUAAGGUCAACGUAGUCAAUUGGGACGUUGGGGGAAUUUUAGUUCAAGAAUUUCAAAUCACUUGUUCUAAUCAACUAAGUGGAGUUUGUAGAAUUUUAAUCAACUUCAUACCCCUGAAUUGUCGAAAAAGAAAAGGGAAGGUAAAUUAAUCAUAUUCAACAAUCAUUGAAAGUGGCUAUAUCAAUUAAGCUUUUCCUUGCACAUUUUCAAAAUCUAAUUUGAGACUGUGGACUUGUUAUGCAAUGAUCGUUCACCAUCUCAAACUUGUACUUACACAAUUUAUGUCGAAAUUCGAAGAUGUAUUUCAAUUGAACGUAAAAGUUAGGUAUGAUCUAUAAAGUCUGAAGUGGUUCGUGACGAAUAAAACAAAGUAUAAAGAAAUGUCGAAAAAUGACAGAGUAAAUAUUCAGACUGAUCAUGAGUUGCAUGUGCAUUACAUCAGCCAGCCCGAAAGACCGUGGGGGUCCACCAUCGGGACCCACGUUCUUCUCGACUGGAACCUAAGAAAGGACAAAAGCCAUGAGCCCAUCGGCAAAGGACACGUGGCAACCAUUCGCGGAGCGCCAAGUCAAUGACAGCGAAUUUAAAAAUACAAAUAGUCAAAUGAAAUGAAAAAGGAAAUGAAAUUCAAUCAAGCAGCGCAACCAAAAAGAAGCCUGGGGCGAUCGCAACGCUCACUUGCCUCCUUUUUCUCUGUCUAAAAUCGCUAGGAUAUUGUAGCAUGUCAUAAGAGCAAUUAGGCUUUUGAAAUUGUUUAUCUAUCUUCUUAUAAUUAAACUCUCUCAUAAACAAUGAUGAUUUUAUUCCUAAUUAUAACCUAAUUCUUUUAUUUUUAAUAAGAAAAUAGGCAUGCUACUUCUAUUAGUUCUAUAUAAUUUAUACUUAUUUCUACUAUAUAGCUUUUGAAUGAAAGAUAUCAUGAAAGAUAUCAUGGAGUAAUAAUAAUAAUAAUAAUAAACCAGGAGUAUAAUUGAGCACCUAGAUGUGACAAACAUGGUUUACUAAUAAUGAUAUUAGAUAAGCAUUUAUCACUUAAAGUAAACCAACAUUAUUCUUUAUCAAGAAAUGUUUAAAUAGACUACAAAAAAUUAAAUGGUUUCACGACUUAUAAAUGAAAACAAAAAAUAAAUGUAACCAAGCUGCACCAAAAUAAGAAUGAAAAUAUUUUUACGUUUUCGGUUGUCCACUUUAGGGAAAGAGCAUCAAGAUUUUCUAGAAGGAUGCAUGGUGUUGGGCUCCACUUUCGGAACAGCUUGGUUCCUUCGACCUUUACAGAAUUCCAACUCCAUCGUCGGCCAAAUGUCACAUCUAUGCUCUCUUCCUUGAUUUCUUAUUUUCAAAUAAUAUUUUAAAUAUCAACUAUAUGUAUAAAGAAUCUCUUUACAUAUUAUUCUAGUGUAAACAAAUGGCCAAUUGGAAUUUUGCUUUGCUAGAAAUAAGAAUACGCAGAAGAGAGAAUUGUAUGACGUUUUUAUGCUAAAAAGUACAUGAGGCAAGAUGAUUAUCUAAAAUAACAAGAUAUUACAAUAUUAAUUAUAAAUAAUAAAAUGCUAGACAACUUCCCAAUCUCAGUGGCAUCGAGUCAUCGACCGAUUACGUGAUUAAGUACAAUGAGAUUCCUCCUUUCUCUUUGAAUUCAAAGUCAUCACCUUAUGGGGUUGAGCCACCUCAUCGUCCUUUCAAAGAAAAAAACAAUAAAAUAAAGCUGAGAAAAUUCUGUAAAAUAUCUCAGCUCAAGUGAGAUCACAAUGUAUUGUCUCUUUCGCUUCUCCAAGAAUACGUAAUGCAAUGGAUAGGAUGUAGCUAUUUAUUCCACAUUUCACAUUCUAGGAUCGACUAUAGGACUAGGGAGCAAUGUUGGGUACAUACGUUUCCUUGAAUUAUCCAUCCUUUUAUCGUCUCUCUAUUUUCCAAUUAUAGAUGGUGACAUAAUUUGACAUUAUAUGAGACUUAUGGUGUACGAAACUAAAAACAUUUUAUCAUGUGAAUGAAAAUCUUGCUACUCGCCCUUAGGUGAAAUUGCCACAACUUGGGGAGGAUGACAAUCGCGCCAUGUGUGAUCCGCGUCUUUUCAAGGACACGUGGCGCCUGCACGCGAUCGAUCCGCAUUGACUAAACGACGGGCGAAUUUAAUCCGUGCCAUAUUAAUAAAACCUUCGAGCAACAUGCAGGAAUCCAAAUGUCGGAAGCACCUAAACAAGCCAGGACGAAUCCAAGUUCAACAUGCAUAAACUAUCAAUACACCUCUCGUAUAAUGAACCACGACGUAUUAGUCAAAUAACAGGGAAUGGAUUUAAUCAUUGCGAGUCAAAGAACGAGCAAAUUAAUUACAAUUCAAUUUCAAUCAAUGUGCUGACAGAAUGCGUAAAGGAAGCAAGAGGCGAAGAAAUUCAGAGAAGUUUUUUUCUAUUACUUCAAUUGUAUGAAUUCGAUAUACAAUGUUCUGUAAUUAUAAUACAGAGUGUACAUGAAGAAAGGAAAUAAAAUAUUCUACAAAUCAAAUUUAUAUUUCUGUCCAAUAUUUAAUUGAUCCGAUUAGAUCAAUUUAGAUCAAAUCCGGCGAAUCUUCAAGCAUAUCUUCCAACACUCCCCCUCAAGCUGGUGGCUUGUAGAUAUCCAAGACGCCUAGCUUGCUUAAUAGAUAUGCAUGCUGUCUUGAACAUAGAGGUUUAGUGAAAAUGUCCGCCGAUUGUUCAGCAGUUCCAAUCCCUCUUGUUUCAAUUAUCCCUUCUUGGAUUUUCUCUCGAGUGAAGUGACAAUUCACUUCUAUAUGCUUGAUUCCUUCAUGCAUUAUGGGAUUGGCUACAAGUUUCAGUGCCGACUCGUUGUCACAAAACAGUUUUGUCGGCCUUUUAACUUGUAUUCCAAGAUCUCGAGUAGACCUCGUAUCCAUACAAUCUCACAUGUGGUUUUUGCCAUGGCUCGAUAUUCUACUUCGGCUGAAGAUAAAGAAAUCGUUGUCUGCUUCUUGGUUUUCCAUGAAAGAAGUGAUUCUCCUAGUUUAAUGAAAAAACCAGAGACAGAUCUUCAACUCAUAGGGCAAGUCGCAUAAUCUGCAUCACAAUAUGCUGUCAUUUCCAUGUUGCAUUUUCUAGACAAAAGUAUUCCCAGUCCUGGACACUUCUUCAAAUACUUUACAACCUUCAGAGCAGCAUUCAUGUGAGGUUCCUUCGAUUUGUGCAUAAAUUGUCUGAGAUUUUGCACUGCAUACGAUAUAUCAGGCCUGGUCAUAGUCAGGUAUAUGAGUUUUCCAAUGAGCUUCUGAUAACUCGUUGGAUCUCUAAGAAGAGGAUCAUCCUGAGAUGUUUCCUUGACAUGAUCCACUGCAAUUAAUCUGGUAUUCUGCUCAAUUGGAAUAACUGCUAGUUUGCAUCCUGAUAAACCUGCUUCUGAUAUAAUCUCUAAUACAAACUUCCUCUGACUGAGAGAAAUUCCUUGGUGAGAUCUGGAAAUCUCAAUUCCAAGAAAAUAUUUUGGUGCUCCCAAAUCUUUUAUAUGGAAUGUAGUAUGCAAAUAUUUCUUAAGAUUCUCUAUUACAGCUUCAUCAUUUCCCAUAAUUAGAAUGUCAUCUACAUAUAUCAUUAAGUAAAUAGAUGACGUACCUUUAGUCCAUGUGAACAAGGCAUAAUCAUAUUUGGAUUGUUUGAAGUCCGCAGUGGUGAGAGCCUUAGCAAAUUUUGCAUACCAUUGCCUGGAAGCUUGCUUUAGUCCAUAAAGGGAUUUGCGGAGACGACAUACAUUAUUCUCCCCCUGUCUCCGUAAGCCCUGAGAAAUAUCCAUAUAAAUUUCUUCAUCUAAGUCGCCAUGGAGAAAAGCAUUGUGGAUGUCCAUUUGAUGUAAGGACCAAUCAUGGAUUGCUGCAACUGAUAAGAAAGAUCGAACGGUGACAUCUCUAGCAACUGGAGAGAAGGUUUCAUGAUAAUCAAAACCUUCUCGCUGAGUGUAUCCCUUGGCCACCAAUCGAGCCUUGUAACGCUCAACGGAUCCAUCGGCUUUAUAUUUGAUCUUAUAAACCCAUUUGCAUCCUAUAGACUUUUUGUUGGGAGGAAGAUUGACCAAUUCCCAAGUGUGAUUAUCAGUUAAUGCCUGUAAUUCUGCUGCCAUAGCCUGUUGCCACCGUGGAUCUCUAGAAGUCUCAUCAUAACUAGAUGGUUCCUUCUCAUCGGAAAUCCGACUAAUGCAACAUCGAUGUUUGGACGAAAGUCUAUCAAAAGAGACAUAUGAGGAUAUUGGAUAGUUAAUACCUGGUGAAUUAAGAGAGGCACAAAUAUAAUCCUCUGUCCAUGUCGGUGGUCGUGUGGCUCGUCCCAAACAACGUGGAGGAUGCUCUAGUGGUGAAGGAGAUGGUUCUCCUAUGUCUGUUUCUGCCGAAACAUCAGAAAGAUUGUCCACAUUAGGCUGAGUUGUAGACAUACCUUCCAUCUCUUCCUCAUGGUGCAACUGAUGAGGUGAAUGGGAUUUUGGGUGUGGAGGAAUUGCUUGAGCUGGAGAUCAUGUGAGAAAAUAUUCAGGGGAUACAUCUUCCUGAUGGAAGGAACUACGAGAAUUAUCAGAAAUAGUCAAAUUUCCUUGGUUUCCUGGAAUGGGAAGAUAGUUUCAUGAAAAAUGACGUCUCUACUCACGAAAAAAAAUCCCCUGUAGAUGGAUCAAGAACACGAUAUCCUUUAUGUAGGUUGGGGUAACCCAUAAAUAUGCAUCGUCUGGCACGAGGACUCAUUUUGUCCCGAGGUCCCACUGUUGCAGUGUAGCAUAAACAACCGAAAGCUCUUAAAUGAUCAAUUGCUGGUUUUUUUUCAUAUAGUAAUUCAAAAGGUGAUUUACCAACCAGUAUUCGAGUUGGCAUCCGGUUGAUAAGAUAUGCUGCAGUGAGAAUAAAAUCUCCCCAAUAAAUAUCUGGAAUGGAUCCCUGAAACUUUAGUGCUCUGGCAACCUCCAAUAGAUGACGAUGCUUAUGUUCUACUACUCCAUUUUGUUGUGGAGUGUAAACGCAAGAGCUUUCAUGUAGAAUCCCGUGAGAUAAUAAGAGUGAGUAAACGCAAGAGCUUUCAUGUAGAAUCCCGUGAGAUAAUAAGAGUGAGCUGCAUUCAUGGUUAAAAAAUUAUUUCCCAUUAUUAGUGCGAAUCCGCCUGAUUGUCUUCCCAAACUAAUUUUUGGUCAGAAUGAUAAAGGAUUUCAAAUUAGAAGACACUUGAGCUUUGGACUGCAUUAGAAAUAUCCAGGUGGCAUGAGAGUGAUCAUCCACAAUAGUAAGAAAAUAUCGCGAACCAUCACGAUGUGCCGUGUGAUAAGGUCCCCAAACAUCGACGUGGAGUAGUGAAAAAACAGUAGUGGAAUGACUCUUACUGGUGAGAAAAGGUGUGCGAGAUUGUUUUGCCAUAGGACAUAUAUGACAUUUAGAGCAGGAAAAAAAGCACUAUGACCCAUUCUUGAAUGUAAAAGAAGCUCUUACACAAUGAUAUUUUAUUCAAGACAAUUGAUGAAAGAUCAAAAUGANNNNNNNNNNNNNNNNNNNNNNNNNNNNNNNNNNNNNNNNNNNNNNNNNNNNNNNNNNNNNNNNNNNNNNNNNNNNNNNNNNNNNNNNNNNNNNNNNNNNNNNNNNNNNNNNNNNNNNNNNNNNNNNNNNNNNNNNNNNNNNNNNNNNNNNNNNNNNNNNNNNNNNNNNNNNNNNNNNNNNNNNNNNNNNNNNNNNNNNNNNNNNNNNNNNNNNNNNNNNNNNNNNNNNNNNNNNNNNNNNNNNNNNNNNNNNNNNNNNNNNNNNNNNNNNNNNNNNNNNNNNNNNNNNNNNNNNNNNNNNNNNNNNNNNNNNNNNNNNNNNNNNNNNNNNNNNNNNNNNNNNNNNNNNNNNNNNNNNNNNNNNNNNNNNNNNNNNNNNNNNNNNNNNNNNNNNNNNNNNNNNNNNNNNNNNNNNNNNNNNNNNNNNNNNNNNNNNNNNNNNNNNNNNNNNNNNNNNNNNNNNNNNNNNNNNNNNNNNNNNNNNNNNNNNNNNNNNNNNNNNNNNNNNNNNNNNNNNNNNNNNNNNNNNNNNNNNNNNNNNNNNNNNNNNNNNNNNNNNNNNNNNNNNNNNNNNNNNNNNNNNNNNNNNNNNNNNNNNNNNNNNNNNNNNNNNNNNNNNNNNNNNNNNNNNNNNNNNNNNNNNNNNNNNNNNNNNNNNNNNNNNNNNNNNNNNNNNNNNNNNNNNNNNNNNNNNNNNNNNNNNNNNNNNNNNNNNNNNNNNNNNNNNNNNNNNNNNNNNNNNNNNNNNNNNNNNNNNNNNNNNNNNNNNNNNNNNNNNNNNNNNNNNNNNNNNNNNNNNNNNNNNNNNNNNNNNNNNNNNNNNNNNNNNNNNNNNNNNNNNNNNNNNNNNNNNNNNNNNNNNNNNNNNNNNNNNNNNNNNNNNNNNNNNNNNNNNNNNNNNNNNNNNNNNNNNNNNNNNNNNNNNNNNNNNNNNNNNNNNNNNNNNNNNNNNNNNNNNNNNNNNNNNNNNNNNNNNNNNNNNNNNNNNNNNNNNNNNNNNNNNNNNNNNNNNNNNNNNNNNNNNNNNNNNNNNNNNNNNNNNNNNNNNNNNNNNNNNNNNNNNNNNNNNNNNNNNNNNNNNNNNNNNNNNNNNNNNNNNNNNNNNNNNNNNNNNNNNNNNNNNNNNNNNNNNNNNNNNNNNNNNNNNNNNNNNNNNNNNNNNNNNNNNNNNNNNNNNNNNNNNNNNNNNNNNNNNNNNNNNNNNNNNNNNNNNNNNNNNNNNNNNNNNNNNNNNNNNNNNNNNNNNNNNNNNNNNNNNNNNNNNNNNNNNNNNNNNNNNNNNNNNNNNNNNNNNNNNNNNNNNNNNNNNNNNNNNNNNNNNNNNNNNNNNNNNNNNNNNNNNNNNNNNNNNNNNNNNNNNNNNNNNNNNNNNNNNNNNNNNNNNNNNNNNNNNNNNNNNNNNNNNNNNNNNNNNNNNNNNNNNNNNNNNNNNNNNNNNNNNNNNNNNNNNNNNNNNNNNNNNNNNNNNNNNNNNNNNNNNNNNNNNNNNNNNNNNNNNNNNNNNNNNNNNNNNNNNNNNNNNNNNNNNNNNNNNNNNNNNNNAAAACUAAUUAAAAAUUGGUUUUAAAACAUAAAAUAAUAAAUAAUAAUAAAUCAAUUUAAAAAAAUUUAAAAUUAUUGAAAGGAAUGCAUAAAAGAAAUUAUUUUUCUUAUUGAAUGGCAGAUAAAUAUUUUUUAGAUCAUUUUUGGGUUUUAGUCAAAUACCGAAAAAUAUUGUGUUCUUAGAAAAUAUUUUUCAAAAAUACCAUAUUUUCCAUAAAAUAAACGGAGCUCUAAGGUUGAUCCAGUUCCUGGCCCCUUUUCUGACCACCCGUUGGUCAUUUAUGGCCUUCCAAUCAUUCCCCAAAGUAUGGAUUGUGCUCCCGAUGUCAUCGAUCAUCACUUUCAACUUGUUCAUGUGCCGAGGAGCAACUGGGGCUUGUACGCUUGAGCGAAGGGUCUUCUUGGCAAUCGUCACAGGGGAAGAUUGGUGUGACUUGGUCUGAGAGGUGCUCCAAGGAGGAUGAUGAUUCGACGGCAUGGGCGACGGCGGCUGGGAUCUUGGCUCGGCUAGACCCAAUGUCUUAAGAGAUCCGUCCACGUUGGCUUAUUGACAUGAAUUCAAGCUAGGAUGCUGUAGUUUUCUUUUCAUUUUGUGUUAGAUUUAGCGUAUCUUGGAGAUCAUCGUCGGAUUGAUUGUGAGCUGACUUCGUCAUUCUGAAUGGCAAAGCCUCACCGAACUCCUCGGCUUCUCUUCAACAUGUUUUCUGCCAACUUCUUCCCCUUCUUGGUUUUCAUUCGACGGACGUAUCCAUUCACAUGCUCUUCAAGGAAUUCUCAAACGAUAGCCGGUGUGUCAAUAAUCUUAGGGAAACAUGGAACAAAAUGUGAAACAGCAUUUCAUUUGGUGCGGCAAAUUGUUGUAACGAAGUUCGAGUGCACCAAGGAUGUUGUUGCUUUAUGCUGAUUCCUACACACUGCUAUUGGUCUCUUAUUAAUAUGCCGAGAAUUGCUUAUUGGCCCUCGAGAGAUUUCCGAGCAAGAGGAACUCACUUGCAUUUCUCGACGAUUUUCACUGUGGUUGCGAACCGUGCAUUUUCUUGCUUUUCAGUCGAAUGCCCAUUUGAGAAAAAGGAAGAGAGCGUUCAGAGAAGAAAGGCCUUUCAACUUGAAUGCAAAACUAGGCAAUUUCACUUGGCGCCUUCUGCGAACAAAUCUGUCAUCUCGUUCCACGUGCUCGUCACAGUAUCGCCAAAUGGCUCUACAAUUGCUCGACGUCCAAGGUGUCUAAUAGUGGCUGAAAUUCUAAUCAAGCUUUGAUUGAUAGUGUCUCCUCAGACUUUUUCAAGAGUGUUCUUCAGAUUAAAAUCACUGGAAAUGCAUACCCAUGUUUUGAAAUCGAAAAUUGUUCUUGGACCUUUUCGUCGUUGUACACGAACUUAGCAAGCACUAGUAAUUAUCAUGGGAGGGCAUGGUAUUCAAACGGGCUCGGACACUCUACGAUGCCAAGAAGGAUCGAUUUGGCCAUUUUCUUUCCAUUGGAAGCACAAUAGGGGUACUCAAAAGAACUUCAUGAAUGCAAACAAUAAACACAAAUUGUCUCGUCUUUGGCAAAAGGUAAUAGCUAUACUAAAAACUGUUCCAACUAAAAGGAUCGUACCAUCUUAUAGGCAAUGGACCGAACAUUAAUGUUUUAAUAUGGUGUGACUUGACCAUGGUUCUCACUUUUAGGGUGAAAUCCGAUUUGGCUAAGUCUAUGGACCGAGACCCCUCUACCUCAUUCUAUUUUCAGGAUGCCCAAUUUGGGCAGUUCUGUGUACUCGUGCCGUCAUUAAAUCAACCGAGGAGGUGCUGAACUUACGAGGAGCCAUAGCAUACCCCAUCAUGAGUCCAAACAGAAGUACUUGGGAGAAUAAAUCUGAUGAAGGCUUUCCGCAGAUAAAAAUAUAUUCAUUUUUCAUGCAAUUAGCCUUUGUGAAUUCAUAUUUUAAGAUUCAGUCUUAGGAGCAAAAGGAAAAGAAGAAUCUUAUCUUCCUAUGUAGAAGUGAAGUAAAACAUAUUCAUAACGAAAAGGACAUGAUUUUUAAAGGCGUUAUUUCUAGGAAACUCUUUAAGUGGUCUAGUGAUAUAAUUACAAAAAGAUUGAGAAAUUGACGUUGAUUUACCAAAAAUAAGAUCUAAUGGUGUAGUGUGAUGACAUUCACUGUUCAUGGAGGAAAGGUAAAUAGCAAUAUAAGAAAAUUCAAAUAGAGAUAAUUUGAUAGUUGUUCUCAUACAAUACGAAUUAGGCAUUUCUUCCAUAUAGAAAUUUGCAAUACAAACACAAAUUAAUAACAAAGAACCACACUCAACCGGGGAAAUAAAGAAAGACAUAAUAAUAUCAAUAGCCACUGUUUUCAUCCAUGAAAAUGAAAGAGAUUGACGAAGGAUUAGCUGAGUGUACAUCCACAUGCCGCGGCAAAUAAAUCGUUAGAGUUCAUCUGCAAUCAAAAGACGAAAAAAAAAAACGAGUUUAGAGUAUCUAUCAUACGGUACUAUGGCAUUUAUUGUGGUAUCAUAUGAAUUUAUCAUUUCUUUUUUUGGUAAUACGAAGCUAGGUGAAGGCCCCCACAACUUCUUGUUAACGUAGAACAUUUAGAUACUUUCACAACAUUUAAGGCAAUUAUAUUCGUAAAUAUUUUUUUCAUUAUUUUUUAAAAUUUGAAUAGCAUUUUAAAUUUUAGCAAGAAUGCAAAAAGGUACUUUUUACUUUUGCUCAAAACUCUUGAGUUGAGGACCUGUUUAUUAUUAUAUUAAGGAUGGACUUGGUUUGGUUUUCAAAUGAGCCCUAGGGAAAUACAAAUGCCUUUGACUUGAAACCCUUUAGAGAAAUGCAAAUUGUGUUUGGUAAAGAAUUUUUUAUAAAGGUACUUCGGCCUCAAUAGUGUUUGGCAAAUAUUUUUUUUUGCAAAGGGCUUUUGGAGUUAAUUUUUUUUCAUUUUAAUUAAAAAAAAUUAAACCCUUUAGCGAAAGGCUAAGGUCGCAUGAUGGCCACUUGAGUCGCACGACCUCGCAAGCCCUUCACUGCCCUGCGCCGGCAUGAUCUAACCUCGUAGGCCCUCGCCGACCACCCUCACUCAAGAAGGUGAAUGGUAAUGAGGGCAAACAGAAAUUAAAGAUUUUCGAGGGUAGUUUCAAANNNNNNNNNNNNNNNNNNNNNNNNNNNNNNNNNNNNNNNNNNNNNNNNNNNNNNNNNNNNNNNNNNNNNNNNNNNNNNNNNNNNNNNNNNNNNNNNNNNNGGCCAAAAGUCCCAUUAUAGAACUUGCUAGACAUUCCAACAUUUCCCCAAUGAGCUUUAGAGGCCCAAAAGCCCAUUGGAAAAGUUGAAUCAAACGUAAUCUAAGUCACUAGCCGGCAAACCCAUGCCUCAGUCUAGCUAUAUUUUCAUGACAAAUAUCUACAAAUAUUCAAUUUAGUGAGAAAAGGAUAUCCUAUCUUGUAGAAAUAUUCUUAGCCACAUAUAUUCCCUUUUUUAUUUCCAUUACACAUUACAUCUUCUUCUUCUUUUUUUAAAAACACGUUAGGGUAAAUUAACUCAUAAAAUAGUUCUAAAAGUGGACCUGCAUCUAAGGGAUCUUAACUUUACGCUUUUUGUUAUUUAAAUUGCUGUAAAAAAAUAUAUAAAAAAAAUGAAAGAGGUGCAAUUGCUCUAAGUGAGCCUUCAAACUAAAUUAUAUGGAGAAGCAAUCAUUCUCGUGCUAUGCAGGAAUUGAAUUCAUGGUAUAAAAACAAAUUUUUAUUUUGAUUGAAGAAUUUAGUGAAUCGCUAUAUUACAUCGAAGAACGAAGAAGAAAUAGAUGGAUGCUUACCUAAUUCUCCAUCCUUUGUACCCACAUAAGAUCAAGUUGGAUUUGAGGAAUGUGAGCGAUGUUGGGCCAAUCGUUACCAAUUGUUGGUCGACAUCUCUCGCUAAGUUCACCACAAUAUUCAAUCCUUAAUUCUUUGAGAGCAAUGAGGGAUUGGAAUUCUUGCGGUAUAGAUGAUAAGUUGGGACAUCGAAUCAAGCGAAUUACUCUGAGACGUAUGUGAUUGGGCAGCCAUACUGGUAUGGCCGUAAAGCUCGGACAGUCAUAAAUAGCAAGAACUCCAAAGAGUAGGCAGACUCAUCGAGACAUUGGAGCAACUCCACCACUUGUUCGGAGUUUUCUAUUGAUAGCGUACGGAGAUUCGAAGGAAACUUGGACUUGUUAUCUUGGGUCAACUUGAGCUUGCAAUUAAUAAGUAACAAGGACUCUAGGGCGAUUAAUUCCCCAAAAGGUAGAGAUAUUGGUCUCGCACAAUCUACAAUUUCCGAUCGUCGAAGGCAAGUCAGUCGGCAAGCACCUUCAAACAAAAUUCGGAGAUUUUGGCAUUUGCGAAAUGCCAACAAUUCCAGAUUUUCUAGGUAUUGUAUUCCACUUUCUUGCAGACUCAUUUGCUUUGUUGUUACGAUUAGUUGUCUAAGGCUAAUGAGCCUCUUCAUUUUUUUGGGUAAAUCACCUAACUCUAAGCAAUCAUCAAGGUAUAAGUAGAGCAAACUCUGUAGCUCACAAAUGGAAUCCGGAAGCUUCUUCAAUCGCUCGUUAUUACCAAGAAUUAACAACCUCAAUUGCUUCAAGUUGCAUAUGGAACUUGGCAACUCCUCAAAAUUACCACACCCCAAAUUUAGGUACCGUAAGUGAUUACAUUUGGAGAUGCAUGUUCUAGCAAACUCUCUAUUAAUAACUCCAUCAUCUAAACUAAAUUGAAAGUGAAUUGCAUGGAGCCUCUUUGAAGUUGGCUUUCUCAGAAAAGGUGGGACUCCAUCAAAAUUUGAGAUUCCCUCCAACGAAUCAGUGGAGAAUGAAAUGUGCCGAACUCUUUCCGAAAUCUUUGCAGUAUCUAAGCCAAUGACAGAGCAAUCAUCUUGAGCCACAAUCAUUGCUAGAGAAUGGACUAGAUCGUGCAUUUCAAACGUUAAAAAUGAUCCGAACUCCUCAACUUCUUGGAUCAAAGAUCUCUUCCACAACACUUUGAUGUAGUCAACACCAACAUCUUCCAAUGCUAGUUUUUUCGUUGAUGAACUAAUGAGUCCUAAACUCAUCCAUAACAUAACUAACAUAUAGCUAUUGAUUGCAUAUCCUCUGGGAAAAAGUGAUAAUGUGGCAAAACAGCGUUUUAAGUGUGACGGUAAAUGAUCAUAGCUAAGUUUAAGCACUAGCAGAACAUCCUUCUUUUGUUCCACUAACUCCCAUAUCUCACUAUCUCUUUUAAGCAGUAUCUAUACCGUUCUUCGUCCUUCUUGUAAAGUAGACUCCCCAUAGUUUUCACAAGGAGAGGAACUCCUUGACAUUUUUUGACAAUGUCAUUUCCAAUGUCAAGGAGAUCAAGACAUGGUUACUUUUCCUUUUGAUCAAAUGCCCAUUUUUUGAACAAGGCCAUGGAAUCUUCAUGAGAAAGACCUUCUAGAUUAUGCGUUGGAUGGGUACCCAUCAUAGAAGCAACUUCCGAACUGCGUGUUGUCACGAUUACCUUGCUUCCAUGAGCUCCUCUAGUUAGCAAAGCUUUCAAUUCUUCCCAUCUAUUGCGGUCAUUGCUCCAUAUGUCAUCCAAGACGAGUAGAAAUUUCUUGUCUUUGAUGGUGUCUCGUAGAAAGGUUUGUGAUUGCUGAAUAUCAAGGUUACUCAAUUUUCCACCAGUUACAUCCUUGAUGAUUCUAUCAAUAGUUUUUUUUAAAUCAAAGUCCUCAGGUACACACACCCAUAGUCACAACUUGAAUUGCUCUUUCACACUGUCGUCAUUGUAAACUAAUUUCGCUAAGGCUGUCUUGCCCAAACCUCCUAUUCCAACAAUGGAAAUCACCGAGAGGUUUUUGUUAUCCGGUUGCAUCAAUAUCUCAAUUAUCUUUUGUUUAUCAGCAUCUCUUCCGACGACAUCCAACUUAUUUAUGAACGAAUAAGUCAUCUCUCGUGACCGCAAGUGUGCCAUACCAUUGUCAACACUCCGCUCAUAAAGAUUAAAUUGAUUCUUCUCGAUGGAAAUUUUAGAUAAUGUCUCCCUAAUCUCCUUGAUUUUAUGACUGAUUUUUGCACGGAGUAUUAGUGGAUUGGAGAGGGAAAAGAAGCGGUGUACCUUCUUUUUGACGCCCCGUACCGACUGAUUACCUGCUUCCGUAAGACUUCACAUUCAAGUUCAUCAAGCACAUCCUCCGCAUCGUACAACACGUCUCGAAGCCAACGCAGCCACAGUUGCAGGCCGUGGCUCUUCGCCUGUUGCUCCUCAGCAUCUAACAACACGGCCGUGAUGGCAGUCAAGGUUUUUUUAAGCUCGUGGAUCUGAUCUUCAACGCAGUAAAUUGCGACGGCUUCUUGGAGCGCCGGGGAUGCUAUCUUCCCCAGCACGCCCUGUGCAACGCUGAAAAGGAGGGAUUCAGCCAUGCUAAGUGAUGGGGGAAAUUGAUGCAGGCUAUUUGGUUUGAGACGAAUAAGAACAUGCAAUGUCUUCCUCUCGUGAGUCAGUUGAUAUAAAUGAUAAUGGCUUGCUUACGAUUGGAUGAAAGGGAGGUUCUUUCCUUACGAAUGGCCUGCAAGUUAACGGGACAUAUGCUUUCUACCUUUUCUUUGAUCUUGCUUUCCUGGGAACAAUAAAGAAUCUAGAUUACUUCAAAGGUCCAUUCUCAUAGAGAUAUCUAUUCUUACUUGUUUAUGUAAUUCACCUAAAAAUGAUUGUCUGUAUAACUUAGAAAGGUUAGACGACAGAGAAAUUCUUUCGUAGUUAGACGAUAAAGAUACUUUGUCGCUAAUUCAAUUUUUUGUGCGAUAUAGACAAUCAUUGCUAGUUAGGAAGAUAUUUUCAUCAUCGUUUAAAUAGUUCUCUUGGCAUUGCCUUUUCAGAGAUGAUUCAGAAUACUAACGAGAUUAUGGAAAGAGUUAUUGAUCAAACCCAAAGAAAAAAAUUAAGUUGGCAUAUGAAGAAAUCAAAUAAAAAAAAAAGAUGGAACAAUAGAGAAGAAUCGAAAACAAAUUCUGCCUCAACCAUCUGAACCAAAAGGCUAACUCAGUUUCUAUGGAUUAAUUUAGAGCGAGGCAUUGGGAACUCCAAGACUCAUCUCUUUUGUUCCAUGCCAAUCAAACCAAGCAAAGAACCAAAAGAUAAGCACAUAUUGAUGGUGUUAUUUAUAAAGCAAAGUGGAACAAAGUGAGAUAUGGUCAAGACCUUGUACGGACUAUCAAUUGAACUCUUUUGUGAUGUGUUAGUUCAUCACUUUUAAAAUUAUCAAUUAGUGAUGAGCACUCGUUUCCUAAAGAUUUUAUGAAAAUUGUCUGUUUUCCUUUAGAACCCAUCUGGCUCGCGCAAAUGUUUUCAUUUUCCAUUGAGGAUGAAAAUUGUUUUAUAUUCUCGAUUUCUGUUUUCCCGAAAAUGUGUUUGGUUCGUGGAGAAGAAAACUUUCGACGGAAAUGAAACUACGGGAUUAUGACUGGUUGUAAUGUUUUCGAAAAGAGAACUCAUCAAUCCAUUUUAAUCGCCUAUUUGCCCGUUAAAUUACCAUUUUUCACCGAGCAAGCCCAAUAGAUUACUCUCAUCUAGAAAUUCCAGUACGUAGUUGUAUGAAGCCCACAUGCAUUCUGGUGAAUGUUUCAAAAGUUUUGAUUUUAAAAUAUUCGAAACUCUUGAACUGUAUGAUUUAAAUUACACAAAAAAAGUAAAAUUUAAAAGUUGAUCCAGACCAGUUUAGGCCACUUUGAGCUUUCAUAAUUCCAAAAAAUUUUAGAGUGAUAGAGCACUUUUAAGAUUAAUUUGUAUUUGACCUCAAUUGCAACCGUGUCUAAAGUAGAUAAUUCGACAAAUGAGCACUUGUUUGUUUCACAUUCUCUACAAUAGCACAAAAGUAAAUUUGAAUUUUUUAAGGGGUCAAUAUGACAUAUAUAUAGAUAAUUAUUNNNNNNNNNNNNNNNNNNNNNNNNNNNNNNNNNNNNNNNNNNNNNNNNNNNNNNNNNNNNNNNNNNNNNNNNNNNNNNNNNNNNNNNNNNNNNNNNNNNNUCGGCCCUCGCCUCUGGCCAGCGCCGCCGGCCAGAGGAAGAAGAAGGAGGUAAAAAAAUCAAAAAAAAAUUCGAAAAAAAAUUCGAAAAAAAUUAAAAAAUUCGAAAAGAAAAUUUAAAAAUUAUUAAAAAAUUGUUUGCCGGCCAGCUGUCUCCGCCCGGCGUCCACGUCAGCUCCGGCUGGCCAAUUUUGGCCGGAAGGACUGAAUUGGCAUAAUUAUAAAAGGUUUAGGACUAAAUUGACAAAAAAAAAAAAAGUUUAUGACUGAAUUGGCACAAUUGCCAUAGGUUUAGGACUUUUUUGGUAAUUCUCCCAAUAAGAUUUGAUGGUGUAGUGUGAUGUCAUUCAUUGUCCGUGGACGAAAGACAAAAAUCGAUAUAAGAAAAUUCAAAUAGAGAUAAUGUGAUAGUUGGUCUCAUACGAUACAAAUUAGGCAUUUCUUCCAUAUAGAAAUUUGCAAUACAAGCACAAAUUAAUAAUAAGAACCACACUCAAUCAAGGAAAUAAAGAAAGACAUAAAAAUAUCAAUAGCCACUGUUUUCAUCCAUGGAAAUGAAAGAGAUUGACGAAGGAUUAGCUGAGUGUACAUCCACAUGCCGCGGCAAAUAAAUCGUGAGAGUUCAUCUGCACUCAAAAGAGGAAAAAAAAAUGAGUUUAGAGUAUCCAUGAUACGGUAUUAUGGCAUUUAUUGUGGUAUCAUAUGAAUUUAUCUUCUUCUUCUCUUCUUUUUUGCAAAACGGAGCUAGGUGAAGGCCCCCGCGGCUUGUUGUUAAUGUAGAACAUUUAGAUACUUUCACAACAUUUAAAGCGAUUAUAUUCGUAAAUAUUUUUUUCAUUAAAUUUUUUUUUGAAAAAAAUUGAAUAGCAUUUUAAAUUUUAGUGAGAACGCAAAAAGAUACUUUUUACUUUUGCUUGAAAUUCUUGAGUUGAGGAAAUUUUUAUUAUUAUACUGAAUAUGGAUUUGGUUUGGCUUUCAAAUGAGCCCUGGGGAAAUACAAAUGCCUUUGACUUGAAACCCCUUAGAGAAAUGCAAAUUGUGUUUGAUAAGGAAUCUUUUAUAAAGGUACUUUGGCCUAAGUAGUGUUUGGCAAAUAUAUAUAUAUUUAUUUAUUUAUUUUGGAAAGGACUUUUGGAUUUAAUUUUUCUUUUCCUUUUUUAUUAAAAAAAUUAAACCCUUCAGCGAAAGGCUAAGGUUGUGUGAUGGCCACUUGAGUCACACAACCUCGUAGGCCCCUCGCUGGCCCUUCGCCGGCAUGAUCUAACCUCAUUAGACCUCCCACUUUCGAUCAAGAAGAUGAAUGGUAUUGAGGGGCAAAACCGAAAAUUAGAGAAUUGGUGAGAGAGUAGUCUCAAAAGAAGAAAACUAGUUUCAACAUUUAACAAAAUACUGAAAGCUCGAUACUAAUCCCUAUUAGCAUUGGGUUUUUAGCUUUCAACAUUUGGCCAAAAGCCCCAUUACAAAACUUGCUAGACAUCCCGACAUUUUUUCAAGGAGUCUUGGAGGCUGAAAGCCCAUUGGAAAAUUGAAUCAAACAUAGUAUAAGUCACUAGCCGGCAAAUCCAUGCCUCAGUCUAGCUAUAUUUUCAUGACAAAUAUUUACAAAUAUUCAAUUUAGUGAGAAAAGGAUUCCUAUUUUGUAGAAAUAUUCUUAGCCACAUAAAUUUCCCUUAUUAUUUCCAUUACACAUUACAUCUUUAAAAAAAAAAAAAACAUGUUAGGGUAAAUUAACUCAUAAAAUAGUUCUAAAAUCGGACCUGCAUCUAAGGGAUUUUAACUUUAUGCUUUUUGUUAUUUCAACUGCUUAAAAAAAAUAAAAAAUGAAAGAGGUGCAAUUGCUCUAAGUGAGCCUUCAAACUAAAUCAUAUGGAGAAGCAAUCAUUCUCGUGCUAUGUAGGAAUUGAAUUCAUGGUAUGAAAACAAUUUUUUUUUUUUUGUUGUUUCAUUAUCCGAGUUAAAAGCUUUAGAUAGUAUUACGAAUUGAGUGUAUAGUUUUUAGUAUAACUCUAGUAUUAAAUGCAACUUUUAAUUUUUUCGUCAGAUUUAAAUUGGAUUAUUUACUUUACAAAUACAAUUAUUUAAUAUUGAAUUCCUUUUGCAAUCUAAUGACCUAGUAUUGAUUGUAUCUUAGUAAAUAUUUUUUUCAUAUCACUUUUUCUUUUUCUAAUUGCAAUAGUUUAUUUAAAUUUAUUUCAAUGGAAGAAUUUAGUGAAUCGCUAUAUUACAUCUAAGAAUGCAGAAGAAAUAGAUGGAUGCUUACCUAAUCCUCCAUCCAUUGUACCCAUUCAAGAUCAAGUUCGAUUCGAGGAAUAUGAGCGAUGUUGGGCCAAUCCUUACCAAUUGUUGGUCGACAUCGCUCGCUAAGUUCACCACAAUAUUCAAUCCUUAAUUCUUUGAGAGCAAUGAGGGAUUGGAAUUCUUGCGGUAUAGAUGAUAAGUUGGGACAUUGAAUCAAGCGAAUUACUCUGAGACGUAUGUGAUUGGGCAGCCAUACUGGUAUGGCCGUAAAGCUCGGGCAGUCAUAAACAGCAAAGAACUCCAAAGAGUAGGCAGACUCAUUGAGACAUUGGAGCAACUCCACCACUUGUUCGGAGUUUUUUAUUGAUAGCGUACGGAGAUUCAAAGGAAACUUGGACUUGUUAUCCUGGGUCAACUUGAACUUGCAAUUAUUAAGUACCAAGGACUCUAGGGCGAUUAAUUCCACAAAAGGUAGAGAUAUUGGUCCCACACAAUCUACAAUUUCCAAUUUUCGAAGGCAAGUCAGUCGGCAAGCACCUUCAAAAAUAACUCGGAGAUUUUGGCAAUUGCAGAUUCCCAAAAAUUCCAGAUUUUCUAGGUAUUGUAUUCCACUUUCUUGCAGACUCAUUCGCUUUGUUGUUAAAGAUAGUUCUCUAAGGCUGAUGAGCCUCUUCAUUUUUUUGGGUAAAUCACCUAACUCUAAGCAACCAUUGAGGUAUAAGUAGAGCAAACUCUGUAGCUCACAAAUGGAAUCCGGAAGCUUCUUCAAUCGCUUGUUAUAACCAAGAAAUAACAAUCGCAAUUGCUUCAAGUUGCAUAUGGAACUUGGCAGCUCCUCAAAAUUACCAUUCUCCAAAUUUAGGUAUCGUAAGUGAUUACAUGUGGAGAUGCAUGUUCUAGCAAACUCUCUAGUAAUAAUUCCAUCAUCAACAUUGAAUUGAAAUGUAAUUGCAUGGAGCCUCUUUGAAGUUGGCUUUCUCAGAAAGUGGGACUCCAUCAAAAUUUGAGAUUCCCUCCAACGAAUCAGUGAAGAUGAAAUGCACUGNNNNNNNNNNNNNNNNNNNNNNNNNNNNNNNNNNNNNNNNNNNNNNNNNNNNNNNNNNNNNNNNNNNNNNNNNNNNNNNNNNNNNNNNNNNNNNNNNNNNCAUGAAGACUUAGUUCGUUUGUAAAAAGUAUUAAGAAAAGUCCUAUAUCUAUUGUAUUGAUAUAAAUUUAAUUUUGUCAAUUUAGUAAUUCCAGUUAAUUUUAGCCAAAUAUUACUAAGGUAGACUCCGGCUGAUGUUGUCAUGAACAUUUUUAAUAAUGUUUCUCUUUUCGUUGGGGUGGCCCUCGCCACCACAAGCGGCAUCGGCCUCGCUGGGGUGAGGGUGAGUGUCAGCGAGACCGCCCUCACCCAAGUGACAAAAUCUGGUAAGGCAAGCACUAGCUUGGCAAGGCUUAAUCUCAUCGGAUUUAAUUUCCAAUGCCUUAAUGUUAAGUAUAAUGUUUGCCCAUCAUAGUCAACAGCGUAAGGAGAACAUGUCAUGCUCAUUAAGCAGGUGGAGCGAAUAUAGGCACGAAAGUGACAUGCCAAAGGAAAAUGGGAUAAGAACCAGAAAAUAAAAGUAAUAAAUAAAAUUUUUGUUCAAAAAAUACAUAUGACUGCCAUAUCUAGUUGAAGAUUUCUUUCUGCCAUCCUUAUUGCCCCUUUUAAAUAAAAUUCCAGUAUUAAAUUGGAUGACCAGUUAUCUUAUUUUCAAAAAAAAAUAAUGACUCUAGUCAAUUUUUCCUCACCCUGACGUUUAAGUAUAUUAUUAAUACUAUCAAGAAGCAACUUAUUCAUCCUAAUUUGCUGAAACCAAAGCUGAAAAUAAGAAUUAUUGCUACAAAACUCCCCAAUCUCGAUGACAUCAAUCGUUUAUGUGAUUAAGUAUGAUGAGAUUCCUCCUUUUUCUUUGAGAUCGGAGUCAUCACCUUAAUCCACCUUCCCCGUUAUCAACCGAUGACUUAUCCCCCUUUCAAAAGGAAAAUUAAUAAAAUAAAAUCAAGAAAAUUUUAUAAACUAUGUCGGCGGUUGAGUGAGAUCACAAUGUAUCACCUCUUUCUUCAAUCUAAGGUUUUAGUAUAUUAUUAAGAACAUCAAGGAGCAACUUAUUCAUCCUAAUUACCACCGGCCUUGGUGGCUCUGCUGGAUAAGAACCCCUUGCCUUGGGGGAAAGGUGAGGGGAUCAAACCCCAGGGGAAGCAUCGGCGAUUUAAGCGUGACGUCAGGGUGAUGGGUCCUCCGCUAGCGUCACUCCAGGGUUUACUUGGCGGCUAUGUACCGCCGUAAGGCGACGAACGGCUGACGGGGUUCCCUGGGUAUCAAAAAAAAAAAAACUUAUUCAUCCUAAUUUACGGAAACAUAAGCAAAAAUAAGAAUUAUUGCUACACAACUCCCCAAUCUCAAAGGUAUCAAUCAGUUACGUGAUUAAGGACGAUGAGAUUCUUCCUUUUUCUCCAAAUUCAAAUUCAUCAACUUACAGGGUUCAGCCACCUCAACCUCCUUUCAAAGGAAAAAUAAUAAAAGAAAAUUGAGAAAAUUCCAUAAAAUAUGUCAGUGCUCGAGUGAGAUCACGGUGUAUUGUCUCUUUCGCUUCUCCAAGAAUACGUAAUGCAAUGGAUAGGAUGUAGCUAUUUGUUUCACAUUUCACAUUUCACAUUCUAGGAUCGACUAUAGGACUAGGGAGCAAUGUUGGGUACAUACGUUUCCUGGAAUUAUCCGUCCUUUUAUCGUCUCUCUAUUUUCCAAUUAUAGAUGGUGACAUAAUUUGACAUUAUAUGAGGCUUAUGGUCUACGAAAAUAAAAUUUUUUUAUCAUGCAUAUGAAAUUGUCGCCGCUCGCCCUUACGUGAAACUGCCACAAAUUGGGGUGGACGACGACUUGACUUUAUUGCGCCGUGUGCGAUCCACGUCUUUUCAAAGACACAGUGCCUGCAUGCAGUUGAUCCGUAUUAACUAAAUGACGGGUGAAUUUAAUCCGUACCGUAUUAAUCGAAUGCUCAAGCAACAUACGUGAAUCCAAAUGUCGAAAGCACCUAAACAAGCUAGGAUAUAUCCAAGUUCAACAUUGAUAAACAACCAAUACAUCUCUGUAUAAUGAACCUCGACGUUUUAGUCGAACGAUGGGGAAUGAGUUUAAUCAUUACGAGUCAAAGAACGUGCAAAUUAAUUACAAUUUAAUUUCAAUGAAUGUGCAAAUCUAAUUAACUUAUCAAUGCUUGUUUUUUUUAUCUUAAUUCAACCCAAGAAGUUAAAGCAAUCGUUGCAGCUCAAGAUUUCCGGGCAGAAGUGUUUACUUCAAUGUAGAAAUCCCGAUUUUGAAAGGUUGAUGGAGUCGGUUUUAUCAAAUUAAAUUUCAUUUUUUCCUUUAAAAAUAUGUGAGAACAGUAUUUAUAUACAUGGGGCCUCGGUUCACGGACCGACGGCUCUCAAGGUCUCCUAGGUUCUCCAGUCCAUUCAAACUGAUUUUCUUUCUGUACGGAGAAGGGUUUGGCUUUAUUUAACAGUAUUCUUAAUAAUUACAUAUACGACUAGCACUACAAAAAAACUCCAAAAUAAUACAUCAAUGACAAGUUUUCCUUUGAUAGUUUUUAUUAAAUUUUCCCAUCAUAUUGUUGAGUUGAAGACACGUGACAAUUAAUAGAUGCACUAGUUUAGAGUUUUACCAUUUGUUUGUCAUAGAUGUACAAAAUAAUAUCAUUUAACGUAAACCUAUAAAGGGUAAAUUUGUCACAAAUUUAUUAUCUUGAAGUUUAUUAUUGUCAAAAAAUUAAUUUAUGGUAAAUUUGCCAUAAGUACAUUGAUUUGAGGUUUUUGAUAAUUAAAUUAUUAAUUUAGAGUAAAUUUGUCACAAAUAUACCAAUUUGAAAUUUUUAUGUUAUUAAUCCUUACAUAUAUUCAAUAGAAUGACGAUCUAUUUUUUAAAUAUAUAUUUAUUUCAAAAGCAUAACAAUUGUCGCGACCAAUUUUUCGCAGGUGAACCACCUAGGGUUUGGCUAAUAAAUUGUUAAACCUAGACUUAACUCGGAGUCUCCCAAGCCCAUACCAAUUCGCGACUUAGGUUCAAGUUAUUAACAUGCUAUUAAUUUUUCAAUUAGGAGUCGUCACUAAUCUAUUUUUGGUGGGUCGAUUAGAAACCCAAGUAAAGUAACGGGAUAUUUAGUUUAUUCCUACGAACCAAAGAUUUAAGAGUUCAGGGACUUGGUUACGCUAAAUUUCUCUUACGCCAUUUCGGUACAUUUCUCUUUUAUUUUGAAAAAUGUUUGGCAAUCAACUUAAAUUGAUUUUAAAUCUAUUUCCCUUGUGAGGCAAUCAUGCAGGUGCGCAAACCACUAAUUUAACACCUAGGACUUACCUUAUAGCAACGAAAGCAUAUGCUCCUUACCAAAAAAAAAAAAAAAAACGAAAGCAUCUGCAAUAUUAAAUCAGAAUUCAUAUCAACAACCCAAGAUAUAAUUUCUAAUUAACACGCAAUUUAUUUUUUGUUUUCAAUUAAUUAAUGGAAAUCAUGCAAUAUGCAAUGUAAUAUAAAUAAAUGACUUAAUUCUAAUGACAUGCAAGUUCUAAUUAAACGAACCUAAUAACAAUCUCUAAAUGACGUGCAUUUCAUGAAUCUAAUCCUAUAUGACAUUUACACGACAUUUUUUAUAUUUCUAAAAAUGCAAUCUAUCCUAGAGAAUGAAACUAAUUUAUUCUAAGACAUUUUUGUAUUUUUUUCAUGAAAUUCGGAAUUAGAUAAAGUGUGAAAAUUAUCUAAUUAGAUUAAGAUUCUAUUCAAUUUGUAUCAGGAAUUAGGUUGAACCAAAUCCUAAUUUAAACUAAAAUAUUAUCUUAACCCAAAUAAUCCUAAAAUGCAAUCUAUCUAAUAUCUAAACUUAUAAUAAAUUAAGAAAAAUAUUAUCUAGAAUUAAACUAAGUGCAAUUUUACCCUAAUAAGCAAUGACGUACAAAAAGAUGCCCUAACUCUACAUGACAUAUGCAUGAUGAUUUUUUUUUCUUUCUUUCUUUUUUAAUUUCGAAAUUGGUAAUUGCCGAAUAAUUAAACAUGCAAUUCAAAUUUAAAACUAACAUCCUAAAUGAAUGCAUUUUUUUAACAAAUUCGAAAUAAAAUCCCUAUUCUAAAUAUGCGAGAUAACAAGAGAUAUUCUAAAACCAACCUAAUCCUAAUCCUAAUUCAAAUAUUUUUUGGAUUUUUCCUUUUACAAAAAAUAAGAUUGACUCAACCAACAUGACGGCAAAUCAGAUAAAAUAGAAUCGAUAUCCACAAAUUGGCGAACCAUAUCUCGCGCAAGAGAUCGGGCUGACCAAUUUUUAAAUAAAUCGCGAAUCGAAUCUCGAGCAUGAGAUCGGAUUGGCAAUUUUUCGAGCGAUUGCAAUUGUAAGUCGGAUUUCGGGUGCGAAAAUCGGACUAUCAAUCUCAAAUUUCAUAGGCAAUUUCAUGUCGAGAAUUUCAGUUAUACAUUAAAGAAUAUUUCUACUAAAAAGAAAGCAAAAAAAAAAAAAAAACUACCUAAAUUAGUUUUUCCUUUUUUUCAGUUAUACAUUCAAGCUAUGCAUGCUAUAGUUUUCUUUUCAUUUUGUGUUAGAUUUAGCGUAUCUUGGAGAUCAUUGUCGGAUUGAUCGUGAACUGACUUCAUCAUCUGAAUGGCAAAGCCUCACCGAACUCCUCAGCUUCUUCUCAGACAUGUUUUCUGCCAACUUCUUCCCCUUCUUGGUUUUCAUUCAAUGGACGUAUCCGUUCACAUGCUCUUCAAAGAAUUCUCAAACGAUAGCCGGUGUGUCAGUAAUCUUAGGGAAACAUGGAACAAAAUAUGAAACAAUGUUUCAUUUGGUGCGGCAAAUUGUUGUAACGAAGUUUGAGUGCAUCAAGGAUGUUGUUUCUUUAUGCUGAUUCCUACACACUGCUAUUGUCUCUUAUUAAUAUGCCGAGAAUUGCUAAUUGGCCCUCGAGAGAUUUCCGGGCAAGAGGAACUUACUUGCAUUUCUCGACGAUUUUGACUGUGAUUGCGAACCGUGCAUGUUCUUGCUUUUCAGUCGAAUGCCCAUCUGAGAAAAAGGAAGAGAGCGUCCAGAGAAGAAAGGCCUUUCAACUUGAAUGCUAACCUAGGCAAUUUCACUUAGCGCCUUCUGCGAACAAAUCUGUCAUCUCGUUCCACGUGCUCGUCACAGUAUCGCCAAAUGGUUCUGCAAUUGCUCGACGUCCAAGGUGUCUAAUAGUGGCUGAAAUUUUAAUCAAGCUUUGAUUGAUAGUGUCUCCUCAGACUUUUUCAAGAGUAUUCUUCAGAUUAAAAUCAUUGGAAAUGCAUGCCCAUAUUUUGAAAUCGAAAAUUGUUCUUGGACCUUUUCGUCGUUGUACACGAACUUAGCAAGCACUAGUAAUUAUCAUGGGAGAGCAUGGUAUCCAAACAGGCUCGGACACUCUCUACGAUGCCAAAAAGGAUCGAUUUGGCCAUUUUCUUUCCAUUGGAAAAACAAUAGGGGUAAUCAAAAGAACUUCAUGAACUGCAAACAAUAAACACAAAUUGUCUCUUGUCAUUGGCAAAAGGUAAUGGCUAUACUAAAAACUAUUCCAACUAAAAGGAUCGUCCUAUCUUAUAGGCAAUGGACCGAACAUUAAUGUUUUAAUAUGGUGUGACUCGACCAUGGUUCUCACUUUUAGGGUGAAAUCCGAUUUGGCUAAGUCUAUGGACCGAGACCCCUCUACCUCAUUCUAUUUUCAGGAUGCCCAAUUUGGGCAGUUUUGUGUACUUCUAGUGUCGUCAUGAAAUCAACCGAAGAGUGCUGAACUUACGAGAGCCAUAGCAUACCCCAUCAUGAGUCCAAACAGAAGUACUUGGGAGAGUAAAUAUGAUGAAGGCUUUCAGCAGAUAACAAUAUAUUUAUUGUUCAUGCGAUUAGCCUUUGUGAAUUCAUAUUUUAAGAUUCAGUCUUAGGAGCAAAAGGAAAAGAAGAAUCUAAUCUUCCUAUGUAGAAGUGAAGUAAAACAUAUUCAUAACGAAAAGGACAUGAUUUUUAAAGGCAUUAUUUCUAAGAAAUUCUUUAAGUGGUCUAGUGAAAUAAUUACAAAAAGAUCGAGAAAUUGACGUUGAUUUACCAAAAAUAAGGUUUGAUGGUGUCGUGUAAUGUCAUUCACUAUCCAUGGACGAAAGAUAAAUAUCAACAUAAGAAAAUUCAAAUAGAGAUAAUGUUAUAGUUGGUCUCAUACGAUACAAAUUAGGCAUUUCUUCCAUAUAGAAAUUUGCAAUACAAACAUAAAUUAAUAAUAAAGAACCACACUCAAUCAAGGAAAUAAAAAAAGACAUAAAAAUAUCAAUAGCCACUGUUUUCAUCCAUGGAAAUGAAAGAGAUUGACGAAGGAUUAGCUGAGUGUACAUCCACAUGCUGCGGCAAAUAAAUCGUGAGAGUUCAUCUGCACUGAUAAGAGAAAAAUAAUGAGUUUACAGUAUCUAUGAUAUGGUAUUAUGGCAUUUAUUGUGGUAUCAUAUGAAUUUAUCUCUUAUUCUUCUCUUAUUUUUGUAAGACGGAGCUAGGUGAAGGCCCCCACGACUUGUUGUUAAUAUAGAACAUUUAGAUACUUUCACAAUAUUUAAGGCGAUUAUAUAUAUAUAUAUUGGUAAAAUUUAAGGCGAUUAUAUUCGUAAAGGAAAAAUUACUAAAAAAAUCAUAAACCUAUUGUAAUUGUGCCAAUUCAGUUAUAAACUUAUUUUUUUGACCAAUUGAGUUCUAAGCCUAUUAUAAUUAUUCUCGAUCAGUCCAUCCAGCCAAAAAUGGUUGGCCGGCGUUGACGUGGUAACCGGCCGGCGCCGACGACAUUUUCUUAAUAAUAUAUAUUUUUUGAAAUAUUUUAUUAAUUUAUUUUUUUUAUCUUUUUGUUUUCCUUCUCCCUCUCCCUCUCCCUCCUUCCUCCUCCUCUCCUCCUUUCCUUGGCUCUAGUGACUGGCCAGAGGGGAGGGCUAGUNNNNNNNNNNNNNNNNNNNNNNNNNNNNNNNNNNNNNNNNNNNNNNNNNNNNNNNNNNNNNNNNNNNNNNNNNNNNNNNNNNNNNNNNNNNNNNNNNNNNUCUUCCAAUGCUAGUUUUUUGUUGAUGAACUAAUGAGUCCUAAACUCAUCCAUAACAUAACUAACAAAUCACUACGGAUUUCAUUUCCUUUGGGAAAAAGUGAAAAUGUGGCAAAACAACGUUUUAAGUGGGACGGUAAAUGAUCAUAGCUAAGUUUAAGCACCGACAGAACAUCCUUCUUUUGUUCCACUAACUUCCAUAUCUCACUAUCUCUUAUAUGGGCCCAAUACCAUUCUUCGUCCUUUGUGUAAAGUAGACUCCCCAUAGUUUUGACAAGGAGAGGAACUCCUUGACAUUUUUUGACAAUGUCAUUUCCAAUGUCAAGGAGAUAAGGACAUGGUUGCUUUUCGUUUUGAUCAAACGCCCAUUUGGUGAACAAGGCCAUGGAAUCUUCAUGAGAAAGACUUUCUAGAUUAUGCGUUGGAUGGGUACCCAUCAUAGAAGCGACUUCUGAACUGCGUGUUGUCACGAUUAUCUUGCUUCCAUGAGCUCCUUCAGUCAGCAAAGAUUUCAAUUCUUCCCAUCUAUUGCGGUCAUUGCUCCAUACAUCAUCCAAGACCAGUAGAAAUUUCUUGUCUUUGAUGGUGUUUCGCAGAAUAGUUUGCAAUGGCUGAAUAUCAAGGUUACUCAAGCUUUGACUAUUUGCAUCUUUGAUGAUUCUGUUGAUAGUCUUUUUUAAAUCAAAAUCCUCAGGUACACACACCCAUAGUAGCAAUUCAAAUUGCGCUUUCACAGCGUCAUCACUGCAAACUGAUUUAGCUAGGGCUGUCUUGCCCAUACCUCCCAUUCCCACAAUGGGAACCACCGAGAGGAUUUUGUGAUUUGGCCGCAUCAAUAUCUCAAUUAUUUUUUGUUUAUCAACAUCUCUUCCCACGACAUCUAACUUGUUUAUGAACGAGUGAGUCAUCUCUCGUGACCGCAAGUGUGCCAUACCAUUGUCAACACUCCGCACAUUAAGACCAAAUUGAUUCUUAUUGAAGAAAAUUUUAGAUAGUGUCUCCCUAAUCUCAUUGAUCUUAUGACUGAUUUUUGCACGGAGUAUCACUGGAUUAGAGAGGGAAAAGAAGCGGUGUACCUUCUCUUUGACGCCCCCGUACCGACUGAUUACCUGCUUCCGUAAGGCUUCACACUCGAGUUCAUCGAGCAGAUCCUCUGCAUCA
This 47312-nucleotide long non-coding RNA is filed under the name Eucalyptus grandis. Its description in RNAcentral is "long non-coding RNA (EGRA_LNC003294)". Lineage: Eukaryota; Viridiplantae; Streptophyta; Magnoliopsida; Myrtales; Myrtaceae. The record is from RNAcentral.